AUAAAAACUCUUAAAAUAACCUUAGCGUCAAUGUCUUAUAAUAUUUUUAAAAUGGAUAUUCAUAUUGGUGUUGGGGAGGUCUCUGCUCCAAGGUCCUAGCUAACAAAGAUUAUGUACACACUUUCUCAGGGUAAGGCUAUCUCUAACAAGAGCCGGUAAAACGUCUUGUACUCUAAAUAUAGCGGAUGUAGACGUUUGGUACGCGUCCAACAACAUCCGUUAAACCCUCCGAUAAAAAAUAUUGGGUCUCCUUCAUCCGCUAUAUUUGGAGGGUAGACGAUGUCUCGCUAUCCACUGUGCAGCACAUGCUUCCGUUCUCUCCUGCGCUUGCUGGGAAGCUCCUGAAGUCGUUCGAUGGCGGCUGCGGCGGCCGCGCAUCACUGUCAUGCCAGAGCCAGACAUGAAGAUAGAUGGAUCUUCCGAUACAUACGUAAAAAUAUGUACGUAAAUAUGAAGAUAGACGGAUAGCUUACAAAAUGUAAUUAUUAUAAUUAGUUUCUAAUUUAUUUUUCACAGCAUAGAAAGAAUAUUUUAUUACGUAUACGACUAGAAAAAAUAUAAUAUAAAUGUAUUGUGAAAUCUGGUAAUACUGUAGAUGUAAAUAAAGUUUCGAUCCACAAAGAGGAGUAAAUAAAGUUUUGACCGAUCCACAAAGACAAAAGGAUAUAAGCCAAAUGAAGGAAAAGAGAAGUUUCGAUGUAUUCAGGAUUACCCUCGAGUGAAGAAAACAAAAUGAUGUUUCUAAGGGGAGGAAAAGUCGUACACAACAUGUUGAGGGUGUGAAAUGACCAAGCCGUAUUCCUUUGAUUGUGAAAGACUAUUAUAAAACAGGGAGGGUAAAAUUAUAAUUUUACAUGAACACAUAUAUCAACCCACCUAUAACUAGAUGAAUAGUACCACGACUACAUGGAUCAACCAUUUAUAAUCUUGCGCCUAAAUCAGUUUCUCUUUGGAGUACCUCCAAAAGUGUAGCUAAGAUGAAGCUCUGUUAAUCGUAGAUUCUUCAUAUGGCUCAUUGUUCAAUAGUUGUCAUAGUAUUUUUUUUCGUUGAAAGGAAUGGAUGAUUUUUGUUAACAGCGGGUGGAUAUUUGCUUCAUCUUGAGUUAUACUUCUUUGUUCAUAUAUAUAUAUAUAUAUAUAUAUAUAUAUAUAUAUAUAUAUAUAUAUAUAUAUAUAUAUAUAUAUAUAUAUAUAUAUAUAUAUAUAUAUAUAUAUAUAUAUAUAUAUAUACACUACUUCUUAAGAGAGGAGCGUAGGCGUCCACACCAACCGGUUCUGCCUCCGCUUCGAUGCCUGGUGGUCGCGCUUUCGUCGGCGCCAUCAGCGGUGGUCGCUAUUCCUUCCCUAUCCGGCGUCCGCGAUGCUCGCCGCCCCUGCUCCCCACGCGUCGGUCGCGUCCCUCCCCACUGGCCCGCCUCGCUCCCCUCCAACCCCAAACUCCCCAGCGGGGGCCAGCCUAGGAUGAAGAGCCAUCGCGCAGGUGGAAACCGCUCCCCCAUUCCAUCGACGGGCGCUCAACCUAGAUCCCCUUCCACCGAUCUCGUGCUCACCUUCCACGUUCGCGGCCGCCACGCUCCGGCGCCGCUCGCCCCAGUCCCGCUCGCGAUCCUUGCCUCCCCUGUCUAUUUCCCUAGACGCGCAGAGCUGGGAGCGCUGAUCCCCACCUCCAACCUCGCUCCCCCCUGUCCUCUGACUCGCCAGCUCCCCCGUCCUCCUCCAUCGCGCUGCGCGUUUGCAACUCCCAGUCCCACCUCCGGCGCGUCUGCCAGCCAGUAGUCAGUAGACUUGAUCAUGUCGUCGCGGAAGCAUCACGAGCUGCCGGAGGGAGGAGCAGGGGAAGCGGCGCCGGCCGCACGGCGGUGUGGGACACCGAGAGCUCCCUGUACGACUCGUACGAGCUGGCCGCCGUGCGCCGGCUCCUCGACAAGCGCCUCCUCGCCCUCCGCGACGCUGAAGAGACGAGGGGCAAGGGCAGGCAACUGGUGGUCGUGCCGGUCGUCAGCAGCAGGGGGGUCCACCACAGGAGGAAGGCCACGCUGAGGGCGCUCUUCAGGGCGGUGGCCACCUGUGCGGCCCCGCCGAGGCAGGCGCCGCCGCUCGCCUGUGCCUGCGCUGCUGGCAUGGUCCAUGACCACCAGGGUGGUUCCGCGGUCGAGCCGGAGGAUCUGCCGUCCCACGGUCAACUUUGAUGAUCAUCCCUGUGUUUAGUCCAUUUGUUCUUGCAUUGCAUUGGCGCAAGUUGUUUUUUUCCUUUUGUGUUUAUCUAUUGCUGUGGGGGUUUUUUUACGCUGUCCUGUUCAUGCGAUGGUUGGCCAUUGAAGAGUACUGAGCCCACCGGAUCUGUAUACGUGAAUCUGCGUGAAGCAUACGAAAGCUUUUGGCGGUGAAUGAUCUCUCUGGACACUAUUUUUCUUUGUUUGCUUUAGAACGCGUCACAUAAUCACAUGUGGUGUUUCUGAAUUUUCUUCAGCGACGACACCGCUGUUGCCGCAGCCCCUCAGGACGUCUUGGGUCUUGGCUGGCGGUGUCGGCGGAGCUCAGCUAACAGAAGAUGACGUAGUGCCCUGGGUCGCUUGAUAAGCAGAUGAACUUGGAGCUCCGGCGACGAGCUGCGGAAGCCCGCUAUCUUCACAACAUCUCUCCCGGCAUUCAAGAGCGAAUAAUGUCAAUAAGUGAUAAUGUCAAUAAUGUCAAUAACACACUAAACAUGCCUGCAUCUUUCAUAUGUGUAUUUGUGCUCAAAUCUUUAAUUGCUACUGCUGUUGUUUAUUUUCUCCUGUUGAUUGUGCACACGAGAAAUUAUAUUUGAUCCUCUUAGUGGAUUUGAUGCAUGCAGACUGGUUAUGGGGGUUCUUUUCUUCCUGGCAUAAAGCAACGGUUGUUGUCAUAUAUUUUUUGCAAGACGUGGAAUGAGGUUCCAUAUCAGACUUUGGUUAGUUAUCUUGUUUGAACCAUUUUCCAGUAGUAUUUGAACUUCUAUUGAUUCUAGAUGACUAGAUCAUUUACAUAUAAUCUGACAUUAAUCUCAUUUUUUAAAUAACUAACGAAAGCUUAAAUUCAUAUUAAAUGUGCCCACCUAUUUGUCAUUUACAAAGAAUAGUACUUUAUCUAUGCGUGUUGGCGUACUGAUUGUUGCUUCAUUUGAAAUGUUGAAAUGAAAACAUUCUUAUUGCUUAUUCCUUUUUUGGUGAUAUUACUGCCUUCUAGACAUGCUUUAUUAAAGUGAAAAUAUUUCUCUUUUUGUUUGAACUUCGAAGUAGUGAUCUUCUCACGCUGACCUAAAGAACCGGUUCUUAUUAGGUAUUACGCCGUGUCUUCUCACGCUGACCUUAUUUUAUAAAUUGUUAACAGAAUUCUUCGGAGGAUAUCUAUGCGUGGUACUGAUUAAGUAAAAGACGUUAUUAGUGAUGCAUUUUCACAAAUAAAAGUCUAUAAAACCAUAGCAGUCUUCAGUCCUCAGUAUUUUCUCUGAAUUCUUCGAACUUUCUUUAGGAUUGAUUGCAGAUCAUUGAUUUGUGUUAUUAAUGGGAUUGAUUUGUGUUAUUAAUGGGAUGUACUGAUUAUAUAUAUUAAUGAGUAUCCGUUUUAACUGUAGGACAUUGUGAUAUUUCCUGAAGAUUUGUAUAAGUUUGUAAUUUAUAUAAAGAAGUUUGUAAGAUGCAAUUAACAUGACAUUAUUAAAUUAUAUAUAGAAGUCUGUGUGGUACUGAUGGUUGUAAUGUAGUAGAGAAAUGAGUGAUGGUUGUAAUGUAGUAGAGAAAUGAGUGAUGGUUGUAAUGUAGUAGAGAAAUGGGUAGAUUAAAUUUAAAAAAAAUUAUGUAUAGCUAGGAUCAUAAAUAUAUUAUGAAACUUUUUCUCAUAAAAGUAUAACACGCAUUUGUUUUCCGUUCCCGACUAUUCCGGACCCGAUCCCGUUUCCGAUGAUAAAAUGUGGAUACGAAAACGGGAGAGGGGGUUUUUCCGUCCGUUUCCGUCUGUUUUCGUCCCUAUUUGUAUAUAACCUAUUGUGUUAUUAUAUGUUUCCGUUGCAACGCACGGGCACUCAACUAGUGUAUAUAUAUAUAACUGUUCAUAUAAUUAACUCAAACGACUUCCAAACAAGCUCUUUAACCAUCCUUCGUGAUGGUUGCGCAUGCAUAUGAGCUAGCUGCGACCGUCGACGCUAUUUGGCUAGACUUAAUUUUUCCUUUAGUUUGGGUUUGUUUAGAUCUCACGUGCUAAACUUUAGCAUCUUUUAUGCUAAUAGGUGCUAAAGUGUAGCACAUUUUACACUCGGGUUUAGAUCUCUAAGUGCUAAUGUUUAUUAAAAGCAUAGUGCUAAACUUUAGCAUUAUGAAUCUAAAGCACUAAGGCUAUUUCCAGCAGCUUACUCAUUCUCAUACACAUAUUCAAAUUUCACGUGCGAACAGUGCAGUGUAUAGUACAGAACAGUAUAAAACCGUGUUUUGGGUGACUAUAUGGGUGAACUGCUGGACACGGUCUAAUAAGUACUCCAUCCGUCUACAUGAUUUAGUCGUUUUGGAUUUGUUCUAAGUCAAUCACUAUUAACUUUGUCGGUGUUUCGAGAACGGGGGGUCCCUGGGCCGACGAGUGAAAUGUCGCCGCGUGCCCCAGCCCAGAUGGGUCGGAGCGAGACGGAGCGCGAAGGGGGGAAGAAGGCGGCCGGAGCGAGAGAGAGAGGAAGAGGUGGAAAUCCCGCGACCUUCGUGUUUGUCCCGCGCCCAGGUCGGGUGCGCUUGCAGUAGGGGGUUACAAGCGUCCACGCGGGAGGGGGAGCGAGCGGCCUCACGCGAGCACCUGUCCCGUCCUCUUCCCCGCGCGGCCAACCCCCUGUAAGAGGGCCCUGGUCCUUCCUUUUAUAGGCGCAAGGAGAGGAUCCAGGUGUACAAUGGGGGUGUAGCAGAGUGCUAACGUGUCUAGCGGAGGAGAGCUAGCGCCCUAAGUACAUGCCAUCGUGGCAGCCGGAGAGGUUUUGGCACCCGGUUCGUGUGGUGUCGUGGCCGUCGGAGGAGCGCUGGAGCUUGGCGGAAGGACAACUGUCGGUGUUGUCGAGUCCCUGCUGACGUCCUCUUGCUUCCGUAAGGGGGCUAAGAGCCGCCGUCGUCAUAGAGCGUGCGGGGUGCCAUCAUUACUUGUCUGGCGGAGCGAGCCAGAUGGGACGCCGGUCUUGUUCCCCGUAGCCUGAGUCAGCUUGGGGUAGGGUAAUGAUGGCGCCUCCUGUUGACGUGGUCGGUCCGUGCCCUAGGUUGGGCGAUGUGGAGGCUCCUCCGAGGUCGAGGUCGAGGUCGAGUCUGUCUUCUGAGGCCGAGGUCGAGUCCGAGCCCCUGGGUCGGGCGAGGCAGAGACCGUCGGCGGAGGCCAGGGCUGAGUCCGAGCCCUGGGGUCGGGCGAAGUGGAGUUCGUCGUCUUCAGGGGCUGAGCCCGAGUCCGAGCCCUGGGGUCGGGCGGAGCGGAGUUCGCCAUCUUCCGGGGCCGAGCCCGAGUCCGAGCCCUGGGGUCGGGCGGAGCGGAGUUCGCCGUCUUCCGGGGCCGAGCCCGAGUCCGAGCCCUGGGUUGGGCGGAGCGGAGUUCGCCGUCUUCCGGGGCUGAGCCCGAGUCCGAGCCCUUGGCCGGGCGGAGCGAAGUUCGCCGUCUUCCGGGGCCGAGCCCGAGUCCGAGACCUGGGUCGGGCGGAGCGGAGUUCGCCGUCUUUUGGGGCUGAGCCCGAGUCCGAGCCCUUGGUCGGGCGGAGCGGAGUUCGUCGUCUUCCGGGGCUGAGCCCGAGUCCGAGCCCUGGGUCGGGUGGAGCGGAGUUUCCUAUGGUGCCUGAGGCCGGGCCUGACUGCCUGUCAGCCUCACUCUGUCGAGCGGCACAGCAGUCGGAGCGGCGCAGGCGGCGCUGUCCUUCUGUCAGGCCGGUCAGUGGAGCGGCGAAAUGACUGCGGUCACUUCGGCUCUAUCGACUGGAGGACGCGCGUCAGGAUAAAGGUGUCAGGCCACCUUUGCAUUAAAUGCCCCUGUGAUUUGGUCGGUUGACGUGGCGAUUUGGCCAGGGUUGCUUCUUGGCGAAGACUGGGCCUCGGGCGAGCCGGAAGUAUGUUCGUCGCUGGAGGGGGCCUCGGGCGAGACGGAGAUCCUCCGGGGUCGGCUUCCCUUGCCCGAGGCUAGGCUCGGGCGAGGCGUGAUCGAGUCCCUCGAAUGGACCGAUCCCUGACUUAGUCGCACCCAUCAGGCCUUUGCAGCUUUGUGCUGAUGGGGGUUACCAGCUGAGAAUUAGGAGUCUUGAGGGUACCCCUAAUUAUGGUCCCCGACAGUAGCCCCCGAGCCUCGAAGGGAGUGUUAACACUCGCUUGGAGGCUUUUGUCGCACUUUUUUGCAAGGGGACCAGCCUUUCUCGGUUGCGUUUUGUUCCGGUGGGUGCGCGCGAGCGCACCCGCCGGGUGUAGCCCCCGAGGCCUCGGAGGAGUGGUUUGACUCCUCCGAGGUCUUAAUGCCUCGCGCAAUGCUUCGACUGGUCUGAUCGUUCCCUCAUGCGAGCUGGCCGUAGCCCGGGUGCACGGUCGGGUCCUAAGUUCUCGGGCUGGUAUGUUGACGCUGUCAACGGUUUGGUCGGAGCCGAGUUUGCGAGAGCAGCCCCCGAGCCUCUGCACAGGGCGAGAGGACGGUCAGGGACAGACUCGACUUUUUUACAUACGCCCCUGCGUCGCCUUUCCGCAAGGAGGAGGGGGGAAAGCGCCAUGUUGCCCUCGGCGGGCGCCGAACAUGGUGUCUCCGGUGAGCUGCUGGUAGGUAAUCUGAGCGGACGUCUGUGCCCUAUUUGUUAGGGGUCGGCUAGAGGCCCAGAGGCGCGCCCAAAAGUACCUGCGGGUGAUCUGUCGGACCCGGUCCCCUGUCGACGGGGUCCGAGGGCUCGAUGCCUCCCUCUGAUGGGAUUCCGUUACAAGAUCGUUCCCGCUGGUCUCGGAAAUGUCCUAGGGUACCUCGGGAGCGUAGCCCGAGCCUCGGUUAUGUAUCGAACGUACCCAGGGUCAUCCCUCGCUCUGUGUCUGAAGCGGCUGUGAACCCUUCGAGGGCCAGCCUUCGAACCCCUGAUCAGUAGUGGGCGCGGAGCCCGAGUGGCCUGAGGCAGCCGUUGAACCCUUCCGAGGGGCCGGCCUUCGAACCUCUGACCAGUAGUGGGUGUGGAGCCCACGCGCUCUGAGCGGCUGUUGAACCCCUCCGAGGGGCCAGCCUUCGAACCCCUGAUCAGUAGGGAGGCUCGGAGCCUGUUUCCUUCACGGAGAAGGAUCCUUUUCGGGGUAUCCCCAUUUCCUGGUCCCUGUUGUAAGAGAGAGAAAGAGGAAAAGGAAAAGGAUACGAAAUCGAAUGACGCGGCGUACCUUUUGGACGCGGUCGUUAUGGCGAAGGCGAAGCGUCGCUUGCUUCUCCUGCCUGAGGCGCCGCCUGUCCCGCCGCGGAGUUAAUGCGACGGAGCGGACGGUUCGCGGGGUGGCCGUUGCACGUGCGCGAGCCGUUCGAGGAACGGAACACGGGCGCGCCGUCUUCACGCCGUGAGAGAGGGUUCUCUCACUGCCCAGGAUGGGACGUAAGCUUGGCUGACGACGUGACCGCUGCUCCUGCCCGCCUGCCACCGCCAUUACUGCCGGCCCAUUUUUGGCCGUAUUGACCGUCGCGCCUGGCUGGCACUGCUGGCUCAUACGCAGGGUUGCCUCGAGUCGCGGCACUGGUUCCGCAGUCGAGGAGGCGUGGCAGUGGUGCGAGUGGCGGUGCAGUUGCUUGCACGUAGCGACCGGCGCGCCGGUUGCGUGACGCGUGGGCGUGGGCCCCCACGCUGGGUGCUUUGGAAGUCGGAGGGGCGCGCCCACUUGGCGCGGUUGCAUGCCGCCUGCAUGGCCGCCCGCCCUUUCGCCCGCCGGUCUGGGCGAAAGCGGAGGGAUGCUCGUAACCGCUGGGCGGUUGCAUGCACCGCACGCGGCGGUUUGGCUUCUUCUGCUCUGGGCCAGUUUGCAUGAUGCGUGGGACCCAGCCCCCGCGCCGUAGGGGGAGGACCUUGGAGCGUGUUGGAGAAGACUCAGCCCACGACGGCUGGGGACGCAAGUAGGGAGAGUCGCCUUUAAAAGGAGGGUGACCCCCUUGGAAGGCGACCAUGUCUUCGCGCUCCCUUAUGUAUCGUGUCUUUCCACCUUCUGGGCCCUCGGAUGGGGGACACCCGCAAUCCUUCCGCCUCGUCGUUGGAGGAACGCAACUCCGUGGGAGUUGGCACCUUUCAGCCAUCGUUCGGCUUCAAGGAUUUUCAUCAUGCAGCCCGGCUGCACCCCUCCGUCGGCGGUCACCCAGGACGGUGACCUCCAGUUCGAUGGCGGGGGAAAGCAAACCGGGCUGCGGCCUCUGCCCCUCCCUCAGCCUCAAGGAUUUUCAUCAUCAGUGCUGGGGAGGGGAGUGUGCCGAGUUGGGAUCGGCCCCUACGUGGGCGGUGGCCCGCUCCUUCCCUCAGUGAUCGGGGGGAAGGGCGUUCGCCGUCCGUGGCGCUGGCAGCUGCCGCGUGCCUGGCUCUCGGACUCGAGUGGCUUCGGAGCCGCUCCCGGCGCCGCCUUCCGCCAUGGCAGCUGGAAGAGGUUCUUCCGCCGACGAGAUAGUCGGGGCCGCCCACGGACCGACCUCCAACUCUACGGCCUUCUGCCCGUCCUUGCCUCACGAGUUUGGGCACGGGCGAGGGCCUCAUGGCAGCAGCAUCCGCCCUGAGGUCAUCGCUGCUGCUGUUCGGCCCCCCGGAGCAGAAGUCGUCGUCGUCGCCGCUGCUGGAGCGGGCAACGGCGAGCUGUUCGUCGGUCUUCCGUUGCUCCACAGGCCUCCCAAUCGAGUGGGGUUGUUCGUACCUGCGGAGGUGGAACCGGAGUUCCGUUUGUAAUGGCACCUUGGAUGCCAGUGUUCUGUUCAUUGUGGUUGUCGGGGCCUGAACGUGUAUGUAUUUUUGGCGCGGAGCCAUGUUUUUUCCUCAUUUUUGAGCACUAAGACUCGCCUGUUGGUUGUCUGAACCGCUUCACCAAGCGUGAGUCGCCCCGUACAAAGGUGACGAGUGAGGUAUCUGUAUCCCGGAGGCGUAGGAGUCCCUCGGCUCGGUCGGCCCUGCUGUCCGAGGCUUCUCUUGCUUAGUUAAAGGAACCCCUCGGCCGCUCUUCGAUGAGCCGAGGCCUGGGUAGCGGUGUCAGCACGGACAGAGGCAGAGUUGGCUCGAAAAGAAGACUUGGUCGGCCGGAGCCUGGCCGGGUCGUCCGUUAGCGAGACCGACGCCGGAGUUGAUUUGCCGAGGCCUCGGGCCGGGCUGAUGUCUUCGGGGGACAACUGACCGAGGCCUCGGGGUGACCAGCCGAGCCGCCUGCUCGAGCCGGAUUCUUGGAGGAGACCCAGGCGGCGAUGGCCGGGCGUGAUGAUGAAGUCGUCCUUUAGAGUGGGGAUCCUCGGACCGCGUCGCCGUCCGAGGCUAGGUCGGACCUCGCCGAAGGUGUAGUCGACGCCGAGGGUGCUGCUGCUCCCUUCAACUGUCAAGAUCCGAGCCUGCAGAAUCAGAUUAUCUUGUAGUGUGCGUUUUCUGCGGCCGCCGAGGUCCAAACACACCCUCGCCAUGUUGUAAAGUUGCGCUUCUUUUCCUCUUGUUUCGAGUAUCUGGACUUUUCCGUCAGUAACUGAAGCGUCCCCAAUCCUGUGGGACUCAAAUGUGAUACAAUUACUAGUCCCAGGAGGCUAGUAAACACAUUUAUACAUCAGAUGAUACCAAAUCUGCUUAAACGAGACAAACCUACAAAGGUGGCGAACAACUUUAAGAGUUGGUCCACAACUCGGGACAUAUCAUCAGAGUGGGGCUGAAGCAGCCCGAUAUACGCAGCGAAGCAAUUCAGCGGUCCAACAGCCACAGGCAAGGUUGGGAACAGUCGUAACUCUUACCCGGUCUCCUUUUUCUGAAAAACAACAAAUAAGCAAGGGUGAGUACAAACGUACUCAGCAGCCCACCUUCACCCGCGGAAUGGGGAAAUCAGAUAUAAUGCAUGGAAUAUGUGGAGCUCAAGAUAUUUUGCAGAAACGGCAAUAUUUUAUGCAGAGUUGUUUUGAAAAACAUUUUGUAUUUUUGCAAAGCGCAUCCCCUCCAAAAGGAGCAGGAAGUUUUUCAGUAUUAUAACAAAAUCCCCUGGACUAAACCAUCCAGGUAUCUCAGCAGUUUCCCACUGGUUUUUCCUUUUUCAAAAACAGCUACUGGACUUCCCGUCCACCAUAGCUCACGGCUCAACCGCCGAACCUUUUAAAAACCACUUUUCUCAAACGCACCCUUUUUUUGAAAAACAAAACAUUAAUUGCCAUACCAUACCAGACUCGUCCAUUCCUGUGGACACAGACUAUUCGAAUAGGUUUUCAAACUCUGCGCAGAGGUGUACACUUUACCCACUAGUCCGGCUCUGCGAUCCCAUGAUCAAUGAGACCCGAAUCCGACUCUCUUUCUUUCCCUGCACGUCCUAACCUUAACGGUUAUCCGGAAGGAGUCAGGCCACCACCAUGUCCAAACCGGACAAAACUUUCCCCUCCUUAUCCUCCCGGUGCUCCCCAGCCUUCAUAACCCUGGGGUUGGGCCGUACGAGUUCAGAUUGAGUGACUGCCCACACAGUCUCGAGUGGUUGUACUUAUCAUGAGUACAGGUAGUGAAAGAUGACAAACCGGUCCUUAUACGAGGGGACAAUCCUUCUGCUCACGCCUAAACCAGCUGAGCCAUCACCUUAGGCCCUCCCCUAAACCAGGGAGUCCCUGAUUAUCCCGACUCAAAGGUGAUAAGGGUGAAAACCCUUCAUCAUACACAUUUUGAAAAACAUUUUCUUUUGAAAACUCACACCUUUCCUCAAAUCAUUUGUAACAAAUAUAUCAGGGAUUGAUUGCGGCAAGCGGAUGGGUGGCCAUAAUAACUUGUCUUAAAAUCAUAUCAUGCAUAAAAUAACAGGCUGAGGGUUGUGGUUGUAAAACAUAGGUAAUUUAUGCAUCAAAGGGAUCCAGUGAGCUUGCCGUGCUUAUUCGGCGAAGGGGGAAGGGGAGCUCACGGAACUGGCUUCUGGCUCCACCGCCUGGCGUAGACUUGCAGAUCUGGCCUCCACGAGAUGGCACGAACGCUCCGAUAACUAUGCAACAUGAACAAGCAAACAUACAAACAAGCAAGUAUACCAACAAAUAUUUAGUAUAGUGGUCAGAAUAGUGAUAUAUGGAUGGGUAGAGUCUUGAGUAGAAUCUGUGUCAUGUGGUGUUGUGAUAUUACUGGUGGUGGAGCGGAGGUGCUUACCAGGAGGGUGGACUGGAGGCGAAGCGACACUAUGUGUGUAGCCGGCAGAGCAGAGUAACUGAGUGGGUGGGGUGUUUGCCUUGGCUAAGGGUGUUGAGUGUGUGAGGAGAGGGAGAGGGUAGCUGGGUGUAUUUAUAGCUGGGUGUAUGUGGUGUAGCACAGUGAAGUUCACUGUUGGUGAGAAUAGUGACGAAUGAAUCGUCUGACUUAGUAUGAAUAGGAGAGUUAUAGGCAGAAUAUGGGACAAGAGUAUUUUGGGGGUUUUCUGGAAUAUGGACCAUGCUUAAGGGAUGACAUGGUUGGAUAGGGAAUAGUUUGAUAAGAAUUUAGAAACGAGAAUUAUUGGAAUCUGAGUUUGGGAGCCUGGUUCGAAGGAAUCUCAAAGUUAAGCGUGCUCAACUUGGAGAAACCUAGGAUGGGUGACUAGAUGGAAAGUUCCCUACUGGAAGGAAAAUCACAGUCACCGGAGUUCGUAUGACUGGAAUAUGGGUCUAGCUGGUCUUAGGUGGACUGGACAACAUGAUGUAUGAGUAGUUGAAAUUUGGGAUAACUAGAUGACCGAUGAAUAGUAACGAUGAUUAGUAACGAUGAAUAGUGGCGACGGAAAAGUAAUUAUAGAUAUCAUCGAUGAAUAGUAACGAUGAUGAAUAGUAACGGUAAAUAGUAACGAUGAUAAAUAGUGUAUGUGAAUAGUAACGAUGAAUAGUAACGGUGAAUAGUAAUGGUGAAUAGUUCGUAUGAACGAACGAUGAACGAUGAAUAGGAACUAUGAACGAACGGACGAACGAUCGAAUGAUUGGACGAACGAACGAUCGGAAUUUCAGCAGCAUAACGGCAGGAAAAGAUUAUUUGGACGAACGGACGGACGAACGAUCGAAUGAUCGGACGAACGAACGAUCGGAAUUUCGGCAGCAUAACGGCAGGACAAAGAUUAUCUGGAAGAACGAUGAAUAGGGACUAUGAACGAAUGAUGAACGAUGAAUAGGGAACUAUGAACGAACGAUGAACGAUCGAAUGAUCGAACGAACGAACGAUCGAAAUUUCGGCAGCAUAACGGCAGGACAAAGAUUAUCUGGAAGAACGAUGAAUAGGGACUAUGAACGAACGAUGAACGAUCGAAUGAUCGAACAAACGAACGAUCGGAAUUUCGGCAGCAUAACAACAGGAAAAAGAUUAUUUGGACGAACGAAUGGACGAACGAUCGAACGAUCGGACGAACGGACGAACGAACCAUGAACGAUCGGACGAACGAUCGAACGAUCGGACGAACAAACGAACAAACUAAGAACAGGGGGACGAACGAUCGAACGAUCCUUGUGCUAGUGUGUGCUUGUGUGGAACAUGGAGUGGGUGUGUGUGGGGGGGGAAGAGAGUUGCCAUGAAAUGGCUUGGGGUGGGAAGAGAGGAGGCCCUUGCCCCUCUAUUUAUAGCCAUGGUGGGGGAUUAGGGGGAGGGAUGAGAGGAUUAGUGGGAGGAUGAGAGGAUUAGUGGGAGGUUAGCAUGUAUUUGUCUUGUAUAAGUGUAAUUAGCUUGUAGAGCUCACCGUAUGACACUGGAGGCAUACGUAUACGUAUGAGCAUGAGAAAAGUUAUGAAGAAAUAUUUGUAGGGACUUGAAAAAUGAUUAUAAAGGUAUUUCUUAGGAAGAAAAUACUUGGAGAUAUAUUGGUGGAAUAUCUAGGCAAUAUUUCUGGAAAGGACUUGAGGGGGAUUACUGGGAAAUAUCUGGGCAUUAUUUCUGGAAAGAAUUUGAGGGGGGUUACUAAGGAAAUAUUUGUAGGAUAUUUUGAGGAGGAUUUUGGAGAGAAUAUAGACUACUAUAUUUUAUUUGCUGAUAUCAACUCGCAAACAAACAUUUUGAAAUGAAAUUUGAAAUUCAUUUUGAAUUUAGAGCGAGUUUGAGAAAAUUUCAGGAUUUGAACUUUUGGGAUGCUACAAAUCUACCCCACUUAAAAUGAAUCUCGUCCUCGAGAUUUGGCUUAGAAGGGUUAUGGGUAUAGCUUUACUUCAGCUACAUAUCUUCACUUUGCAAACUCUUCGAGGAGAUAGAGCUUCAACAAAAUCUGGCCUUUGAGGGGCAUCCGGUUGCUGAUUGCAAACGCUGGUUCUGGCUACUCAAGAUCAUCUUCAGGCUUCUAGGUUUCGCUUGGCAGCUAGCUUAUUGAAGAAGCAUCAAUGCCAACACGCAAACCUUUCUCUUGCGAACUUCCACAUGGAUUCCUUCCUUGAUUGGUCUUCUGGUGCUUCGUCAACAAAACUUGGGUGACCACUUCUCAUCCAGAAACUUAUAUGCUUGGACGAUCGGGUCCUCCACAAGCUUGCUACAUGCCUUCUUCUUUUUCUCCAUAACAGGAACCUUACUGGAACACUACCCCACUUAAAAAGAAUGAGGGUAGAACUCUUGAAUCUUGGGGAUUUGAACUCCUUGAAGUACCACAUAACAAGGGUGUUACGGGUCCUUCUGCUGCUGUUGCUGCUUGACCAGGCUGCGGAGAGAUGACUGACACAAGGUUGAUUCUGGGACAACCUUCUUCUCAUCUUCUCUUCACUAUCUUCUUUUCACUGACCCUUUCUUUCUCUUUGCUCUUCCCACUAGAGGAUUCUAUCAAAGAGUAUUACCAUCAUACAGAGGAGGAAACCGAAGAUGUUGAACCAUAUACAACAGUCUUCAACCCAAGAAUCACCAAGCAUUGUGAUCUUAGGGGCGAGGGAGUGGAAAAUGGAGUUGCUUGUGAAUUGGCAGAGGGGAUUUAUCUAGAGUGUGCUUUGCUUUGAGCUACGUGGGGAUUGAGGGAGCUGGUGGGGGGUUUUAUAGGCGAGUGGUAUGCGAGGUGGUGCUCGGGUGCGGAGUGGCAGUGACGGAGCAGAUGACACGAGGCAGCAGGUGCGAUGGGGGGGAAUGGUGUUUCUGGCGGUAAUGGCGGUGGGUGCGCUGCAAAAAGGGGGGUGGGCGGCAGUAGUGCGCUGCAAAGGGGUGUGGGGGCGGUGGUAGUGCACAUGGAGGCGGGGCACGUAUGCGGGGGGGCAUGGGUGAGUGGUGGGGUCGAUGACCCUGAUGUUUGUGGUCUCUGGUUCCAAGAAUCUUUACCUCUCUGUAUGGUAAUAACUCCUUAUGUCCUCUUUUUCUGUUUACUUUGACUCAGGGGCAGUGCUUUGAUUCUCACGGUCGGUCCUUUUGACUGAGCGGCUGGACUGGUUUCUUCUGUAGCUUGUCCCAGGCUUCAAGGGUAAGCUUCCCGGUAUCUUCUUGGGUAAAGCACUUUUCUCUUGAGAUGGGUUAAGAUGAGAAUAGAAGCAUAAGGUGAGGAUUAGAUCUAAUUUGUGAUUUAAGUUUUUAGAGAAAACCAUUUUAAGAAAAACGAAAAGAAAACACACAAGCUCAGCAAUGAUAAGCACAAACAAAUCAAAUGUUUUGAAUAAGGGAAGAAUAGAGUUUUUCCAAAGCACGGACUACUCAGAUUCGGGGGCUAAGCAUAACUACUAUUGCUUGGCUCCUGAAUUGAGAACUAUAUUAAAUGCAACUUAUGAGCACUAACGUUAAAGCAUCACAUAUGCACUCAAAAGGGAGGAAAACAUCAAGCGAAAUUCAUUUUGAAAUGCCCUAGGGGGCCACACAAAUAGAGUUUUUCAAAGCACGGGACUACACGAUUACCUCUCAUACAUGCAGGGCUCUAGCCAAAGUGAAGAGAAACUUCACUACCCAAUGCAUGCAGAGGACUGGGCAUAACUAACUUCAGAUCUGGCAGCUUCUCUUCUGGCAAGGUUGGCACACAACUUCAAUCUGAGACAUCUCCUGGAUGGGUCAAGAGGGAGCUGAUGUUGAUGACUUCUUCUGGCGGCGACUGAGAUGGCAACACGGGGUUGAACUCUUCUUCAAGCUGGACUGGCUCUUGUAGCUCCUCAGAGGGCGGUGGUGCUGGCGGGGUGCUUGCAGCUUCUUCCUUGACCUCAAGGGAUGGUGCUGGAAUCUUCUUCAUGGUGAGGGGCUCACACAACUCCGGCGGGGGAUCUUGGGAGGAUUCAGGGUGCUCUUGCUUAUCCAUAGCCUGAGGGAAGACUGGAAUUCCUUCCAAGACUAUGGCUCCUUCCGGGAGUUCCCAAGCCUUCUUCUCUCCUUUGAUAGAGACCGGGUGACCUUCAAGAAUUUGGGGAUCUUCAGCUCUCAUGGGUUGGACUGGGUUGGAUGAAGCGGGUUCUUGGAUCCGCAGGGCUUUACGUUGGUUAUGGGUGACCAAGUAGGCCUCCAUCAACUUCUGGACGUGCUCAUCCUUGGCUUGCUUCAGGGCUUCAACAGCAAUGACUUCACGACUCUCCAAGGCAGUUGCACGGGCUUGAGUUGUGGUGAGAUUCACAUGGAGCUGACGGUUGCUCUUCUCUGCAUCUUCUGCUCGGGCAAUCAUCUGACGGUGGUGCCGAGCCAAGAAAUCAUAUUGUGCAUCAAGGGUGAGCAGGUAUGCAGUGAGGUACACGACUGUGGGGUCGUCCUCAAGCAGCUGUUGCUCUUCCAAUGCACGCAUCCUGGACAUCCAAGCAGGACGGUCUCUCUGAAAGGGUGGAAAGAAUCUGAGCGGUGUGUCGGCCACUUCUUCUUCAUAGAUCUGACAUAGGGUCCUCAAUGCCUUGCGGGCGACGACUUGGCAGGUGUCUUUGAAUCUGUGCCCAGCAGCAGUGACACUCCAUUCCACAUGGUAUGGACUGGACCCAAUGUAUACAGUCACGACACACUUCUCUGUGCCAUGCUCGAUGAAUUCACAACCAUCAUACUCUGGCUGGCUCCUGAUUCCGAGGCGGACUGUGCAUGCUCUCAGCAACUUGGGGAAACCAUCUUCAUUCUGGCAGAAGCUGGUUUGGCACUAAACCUCCAUCUGACUUCUGAGAGAAGGAAAGGGGGAAAACAUUUUUGAAAUGAAGGGAUGAGAGCAAGAUUUUUUUAAGAAAAUAGUUUGGACUCAAAAACUUUUGGAUCAGGCUAAGGGUUACGUCCUGCGGCCAACCUAACAGCUCUGAUACCACCUGAAGCGUCCCCAAUCCUCUGGGACUCAAAUGUGAUACAAUUACUAGUCCCAGGAGGCUAGUAAACACAUUUAUACAUCAGAUGAUACCAAAUCUGCUUAAACGAGACAAACCUACAAAGGUGGCGAACAACUUUAAGAGUUGGUCCACAACUCGGGACAUAUCAUCAGAGUGGGGCUGAAGCAGCCCGAUAUACGCAGCGAAGCAAUUCAGCGGUCCAACAGCCACAAGCAAGGUUGGGAACAGUCGUAACUCUUACCCGAUCUCCUUUUUCUGAAAAACAACAAAUAAGCAAGGGUGAGUACAAACGUACUCAGCAGCCCACCUUCACCCGCGAAAUGGGGAAAUCAGAUAUAAUGCAUGGAAUAUGUGGAGCUCAAGAUAUUUUGCAGAAACAGCAAUAGUUUAUGCAGAGUUGUUUUGAAAAACAUUUUGUAUUUUUUGCAAAGCGCAUCCCCUCCAAAAGGAGCAGGAAGUUUUUCAGUAUUAUAACAAAAUCCCCUGGACUAAACCAUCCAGGUAUCUCAGCAGUUUCCCACUGGUUUUUCCUUUUUCAAAAACAGCUACUGGACUUCCCGUCCACCAUAGCUCACGGCUCAACCGCCGAACCUUUUAAAAACCACUUUUCUCAAACGCACCCUUUUUUUGAAAAACAAAACAUUAAUUGCCAUACCAUACCAGACUCGUCCAUUCCUGUGGACACAGACUAUUCGAAUAGGUUUUCAAACUCUGCGCAGAGGUGUACACUUUACCCACUAGUCUGGCUCUGCGAUCCCAUGAUCAAUGAGACCCGAAUCCGACUCUCUUUCUUUCCCCGCACGUCCUAACCUUAACGGUUAUCCGGAAGGAGUCAGGCCACCACCAUGUCCAAACCGGACAAAACUUUCCCCCUCCUUAUCCUCCCGGUGCUCCCCAGCCUUCAUAACCCUGGGGUUGGGCCGUAUGAGUUCAGAUUGAGUGACUGCCCACACAGUCUCGAGUGGUUGUACUUAUCAUGAGUACAAGUAGUGAAAGAUGACAAACCGGUCCUUAUACGAGGGGACAAUCCUUCUGCUCACGCCUAAACCAGCUGAGCCAUCACCUUAGGCCCUCCCCUAAACCAGGGAGUCCCUGAUUAUCCCUACUCAAAGGUGAUAAGGGUGAAAACCCUUCAUCAUACACAUUUUGAAAAACAUUUUCUUUUGAAAACUCACACCUUUCCUCAAAUCAUUUGUAACAAAUAUAUCAGGGAUUGAUUGCGGCAAGCGGCUGGGUGGCCAUAAUAACUUGUCUUAAAAUCAUAUCAUGCAUAAAAUAACAGGCUGAGGGUUGUGGUUGUAAAACAUAGGUAAUUUAUGCAUCAAAGGGAUCCAGUGAGCUUGUCGUGCUUAUUCGGCGAAGGGGGAAGGGGAGCUCGCGGAACUGGCUUCUGGCUCCACCGCCUGGCGUAGACUUGCAGAUCUGGCCUCCACGAGAUGGCACGAACGCUCCGAUAACUAUGCAACAUGAACAAGCAAACAUACAAACAAGCAAGUAUACCAACAAAUAUUUAGUAUAGUGGUCAGAAUAGUGAUAUAUGGAUGGGUAGAGUCUUGAGUAGAAUCUGUGUCAUGUGGUGUUGUGAUAUUACUGGUGGUGGAGCGGAGGUGCUUACCAGGAGGGUGGACUGGAGGCGAAGCGACACUAUGUGUGUAGCCGGCAGAGCAGAGUAACUGAGUGGGUGGGGUGUUUGCCUUGGCUAAGGGUGUUGAGUGUGUGAGGAGAGGGAGAGGGUAGCUGGGUGUAUUUAUAGCUGGGUGUAUGUGGUGUAGCACAGUGAAGUUCACUGUUGGUGAGAAUAGUGACGAAUGAAUCGUCUGACUUAGUAUGAAUAGGAGAGUUAUAGGCAGAAUAUGGGACAAGAGUAUUUUGGGGGUUUUCUGGAAUAUGGACCAUGCUUAAGGGAUGACAUGGUUGGAUAGGGAAUAGUUUGAUAAGAAUUUAGAAACGAGAAUUAUUGGAAUCUGAGUUUGGGAGCCUGGUUCGAAGGAAUCUCAAAGUUAAGCGUGCUCAACUUGGAGAAACCUAGGAUGGGUGACUAGAUGGAAAGUUCCCUACUGGAAGGAAAAUCACAGUCACCGGAGUUCGUAUGACUGGAAUAUGGGUCUAGCUGGUCUUAGGUGGACUGGACAACAUGAUGUAUGAGUAGUUGAAAUUUGGGAUAACUAGAUGACCGAUGAAUAGUAACGAUGAUUAGUAACGAUGAAUAGUGGCGACGGAAAAGUAAUUAUAGAUAUCAUCGAUGAAUAGUAACGAUGAUGAAUAGUAACGGUAAAUAGUAACGAUGAUAAAUAGUGUAUGUGAAUAGUAACGAUGAAUAGUAACGGUGAAUAGUAAUGGUGAAUAGUUCGUAUGAACGAACGAUGAACGAUGAAUAGGAACUAUGAACGAACGGACGAACGAUCGAAUGAUUGGACGAACGAACGAUCGGAAUUUCAGCAGCAUAACGGCAGGAAAAGAUUAUUUGGACGAACGGACGGACGAACGAUCGAAUGAUCGGACGAACGAACGAUCGGAAUUUCGGCAGCAUAACGGCAGGACAAAGAUUAUCUGGAAGAACGAUGAAUAGGGACUAUGAACGAAUGAUGAACGAUGAAUAGGGAACUAUGAACGAACGAUGAACGAUCGAAUGAUCGAACGAACGAACGAUCGAAAUUUCGGCAGCAUAACGGCAGGACAAAGAUUAUCUGGAAGAACGAUGAAUAGGGACUAUGAACGAACGAUGAACGAUCGAAUGAUCGAACAAACGAACGAUCGGAAUUUCGGCAGCAUAACAACAGGAAAAAGAUUAUUUGGACGAACGAAUGGACGAACGAUCGAACGAUCGGACGAACGGACGAACGAACCAUGAACGAUCGGACGAACGAUCGAACGAUCGGACGAACAAACGAACAAACUAAGAACAGGGGGACGAACGAUCGAACGAUCCUUGUGCUAGUGUGUGCUUGUGUGGAACAUGGAGUGGGUGUGUGUGGGGGGGGAAGAGAGUUGCCAUGAAAUGGCUUGGGGUGGGAAGAGAGGAGGCCCUUGCCCCUCUAUUUAUAGCCAUGGUGGGGGGAUUAGGGGGAGGGAUGAGAGGAUUAGUGGGAGGAUGAGAGGAUUAGUGGGAGGUUAGCAUGUAUUUGUCUUGUAUAAGUGUAAUUAGCUUGUAGAGCUCACCGUAUGACACUGGAGGCAUACGUAUACGUAUGAGCACGAGAAAAGUUAUGAAGAAAUAUUUGUAGGGACUUGAAAAAUGAUUAUAAAGGUAUUUCUUAGGAAGAAAAUACUUGGAGAUAUAUUGGUGGAAUAUCUAGGCAAUAUUUUUGGAAAGGACUUGAGGGGGAUUACUGGGAAAUAUCUGGGCAGUAUUUCUGGAAAGAAUUUGAGGGGGUUACUGAGGAAAUAUUUGUAGGAUAUUUUGAGGAGGAUUUUGGAGAGAAUAUAGACCACUAUAUUUUAUUUGCUGAUAUCAACUCGCAAACAAACAUUUUGAAAUGAAAUUUGAAAUUCAUUUUGAAUUUAGAGCGAGUUUGAGAAAAUUUCAGGAUUUGAAUUUUUGGGAUGCUACAGUAACAGAAUUGUCUGUGCGAGCGAGAGUUGCUUUUCACGGAAGGUGACGAGUGAGGUAUCCGUAUCCCGGAGGCGUAGGAAUCCCUCGGCUCGGUCGGCCUUGCCGCUUACGCGUGCUCUUGCCCGUCCAUGGGGUUCUGUCACCAGCGUAGUCGAGAAAGCCCGAAGAAUCGCUUCGGCAGAAGAUUUCGAUCAUGAAGACUUGUUCGGUCCGCGGAAUCACUUAUCUGAACGCGAGUUACUUAUCGCAGAAGGUGAUGAGUGAGGUAUCCGUAUCCCGGAGGCGUAGGAGUCCCUCGGCUCGGUCAGCCUUGGCUGCUUACGUGUACUCCGUCGUUUUCAGGAUCCACUUUCGAAGCAGUCGAAAAGCACGAAAGACAUUCUGGCAGAAAACAUCUUUUUUCGAGGAAAAUUUCGACGUAGAGGGGGUUCCCCCCUUUUAGCCCCCGAGGGAGGGUCGGGCUUUGCCGAGGCAAGGCUGACCCUUCCUUGAUGACUAAACUUUGCGUGGGAGCGAGGUAUAUGAACAACUUGAAAGCAUCUUAUGGGUAGAAGCGACGUAGCUGUUGGAUGUUCCAAGCGUUGCUGUAGACCUCGCCUUGACUGUUGGCCAGCUUGUACGUUUCGGGCUUCAGAACUUUGGCGAUGACGAAUGGCCCUUCCUAGGGAGGCGUGAGCUUGUGCCGCCCUCGGGCGUCCUGUCGCAGCCGAAGCACCAGGUCGCCCACCUGGAGGUCUCGGGACCGGACCCCUCGGGCGUGGUAGCGUCGCAGGGACUGCUGGUACCGCGCCGAGUGUAGUAAGGCCAUGUCCCGAGCCUCUUCCAGCUGGUCUAGCGAGUCUUCUCGACUAGCUUGGUUGCUUUGGUCGGCGUAGGCCCUCGUCCUCGGGGAACCGUAUUCUAAGUCUGUGGGCAAGAUGGCCUCGGCCCCAUAGACUAGAAAGAACGGCGUGAAGCCCGUGGCUCGGCUCGGCGUUGUCCUCAGGCUCCAGACCACCGAGGGGAGUUCCUUCAUCCAUCGCUUGCCGAACUUGUUGACGUCUUUGUAGAUCCGAGGCUUGAGCCCUAGUAGAAUCAUGCCGUUGGCACGCUCUACUUGCCCAUUCGUCAUGGGGUGAGCCACGGCGGCCCAGUCCACCCGGAUGUGGUGAUCCUCGCAGAAGUCCAGGAACUUUCUGUCGGUGAACUGGGUGCCGUUGUCGGUGAUGAUGGAGUUCGGGACUCCAAAACGAUGGAUGAUGUUGGUGAAGAACGCCACCGCCUGUUCGGGCCUGAUGCUGUUUAGGGGUCGGACCUCGAUCCACUUGGAGAAUUUGUCGAUGGCGACCAAUAGGUGCGUGUAGCCCCCGGGUGCCUUCUGCAAGGAGCCGACGAGGUCUAGACCCCACACAGCAAAAGGCCAGGUGAUGGGUAUCGUCUGCAGGGCCUGAGCAGGCAGGUGGGUCUGCCUUGCGUAGAACUGACACCCUUCGCAGGUGCGGACAAUUCUAGUGGCGUCGGCCACCGCCGUUGGCCAGUAGAAACCUUGUCGGAAGGCGUUUCCAACAAGGGCCCGAGGUGCUGCGUGAUGGCCGCAAGCCCCCGAGUGUAUCUCUUGUAGGAGCUCCUGACCUUCGGCGAUGGAAAUGCAUCGCUAGAGGAUGCCUGAGGGGCUGCGGUGGUAGAGCUCCUUCCCAUCUCCCAGCAAGACGAACGACUUGGCACGCCGCGCCAACCGCCGAGCUUCGACUCGGUCGAGGGGUAGCUCUCCUUGGUGGAGAUAUUGCAGGUACGGGUUCUGCCAGUUUCGAUUAGGCGUGACCCCGCUUCGCUCCUCCUCGACGCGCAGUGCCUCACCUUCGGGGGCCGAGGGUACCUCGGGCUGAACCGAGGGUGCCUCAGGCCGAGCUGAGGGUGCCUCGGGUUGAGCCGAGGGUGCCUCGGACUGAGCCGAGGGUACCUCGGGCUCGGACGUGUUGUCGAUCUUGACGGAGGGUUGAUGCAGGUCUCGGGAGAAGACGUCCGGGGGAACCGUUGUUCGCCCCGAGGCUAUUUUAGCCAGCUCGUCUGCAGUCUCGUUGUAGCGCCGGGCGAUGUGGUUGAGCUCGAGCCUGUAGAACUUGUCUUCCAGGCGCCGAACCUCAUCGCAGUAGGCCUCCACCUUUGGGUCGCGACAGUGGGAGUUCUUCAUGACUUGGUCGAUGACGAGCUGCGAGUCACCGCGAGCGUCGAGGCGUCGGACCCCUAGCUCGAUGGCGAUCCGCAACCCGUUGACCAGAGCCUCGAACUCAGCCACAUUGUUGGACGCCGGGAAAUGGAGGCGUAGCACGUAGCGUAGGUGCUUCCCGAGGGGCGAGAUGAAGAGUAGGCCUGCGCCAGCUCCUGUCUUCAUCAGCGACCCGUCGAAGAACAUGGUCCAGAGUUCUGGCUGGAUCGGAACUAUUGGGAGCUGGGUGUCGACCCAUUCAGCCACGAGGUCCGCCAAGACCUGGGACUUGAUGGCCUUCCGAGGGGCGAACGAGAUUGUUUCGCCCAUGAUUUCCACCACCCACUUCGCGAUUCUACCCGAGGCCUCUCGGCACUGGAUGAUCUCCCCCAGGGGGAAGGAUGACACCACAGUUACCGGGUGAGACUCGAAGUAGUGUCGCAACUUCCGCCGCGUCAGGAUCACCGCGUACAGCAGCUUCUGAACUUGUGGGUAGCGGAUUUUGGUCUCGGACAGUACCUCGCUGAUGAAGUAGACUGGCCUCUGGACGGGCAAUGCAUGCCCCUCUUCUCGUCUCUCGACCACAAUUGCGGCGCUAACCACCUGAGUGGUCGCGACGACGUAGAUCAAGAGGGCUUCUCCGGCAGCGGAAGGCACCAAGACGGGCGCGUUGGUGAGGAGCGCCUUCAGGUUCCCGAGGGCUUCCUCGGCCUCAGGGGUCCAAGUGAAGCACUCGGCCUUCCUUAAGAGGCAGUACAGAGGCAGGCCUCUUUCGCCGAGGCGUGAGAUGAAACGGCUCAGAGCCGCAAGACAUCCCAUGACUCUCUGUACGCCUUUCAAGUCCUUAAUGGGCCCCAUGCUGGUGAUGGCUGCGAUCUUCUCCGGGUUGGCUUCGAUGCCCCGCUCGGAGACGAUGAACACCAAGAGCAUGCCUCGGGGAACCCCAAAGACACACUUCUCGGGAUUAAGCUUCACUCCUUUCGCCUUGAGACAUCGGAAUGUCACUUCAAGGUCGGAAAGGAGGUUGGAGGCUUUCCUCGUAUUGACUACAAUGUCAUCGACGUAGGCCUCGACCGUCCGGCCAAUGUGUUCGCCGAACACAUGGUUCAUGCACCGCUGGUACGUCGCACCCGCAUUCCUCAAGCCGAACGGCAUGGUGACAUAGCAGUACAUGCCGAAGGGUGUGAUGAAAGAAGUCGCGAGCUGGUCGGACUCUUUCAUCCUGAUUUGGUGAUACCCUGAGUAGGCAUCGAGGAAAGACAGGGUUUCGCACCCAGCAGUGGAAUCCACGAUUUGAUCGAUGCGAGGCAGAGGGUAGGGAACCUUCGGACAUGCUUUGUUUAGACCAGUGUAGUCUACACACAUCCGCCAUUUCCCUCCUUUCUUUCUCACAAACACAGGGUUGGCAAGCCAUUCGGGAUGGAAUACCUCUUUGAUGAACCCUGUCGCCAUUAGCUUGUGGAUCUCCUCGCCAAUGGCUCUGCGCUUUUCUUCAUCGAAUCGGCGCAGAGGCUGCUUCACGGGUCGAGCUCCAGCUCGGAUAUCCAGCGAGUGCUCGGCGACAUCCCUCGGUAUGCCGGGCAUGUCCGAGGGACUCCACGCGAAAACGUCAGCGUUUGCGCGGAGAAAGUCGACGAGCACUGCUUCCUAUUUGGGAUUGAGCUCGGAGCCGAUCCGGAUCUGCUUGGAGGCGUCGCUGCUGGGGUCGAGGGGGACGGACUUAACCGUCUCCACUUGCUCGAAGUUGCCGGCGUGGCGCUUCACGUCUGGCACCUCCUUAGAGAGGCUUUCCAGGUCGGCGAUGAGGGCCUCGGAUUCGGCGAGGGCCUCGGCGUACUCCACGCACUCCACGUCGCAUUCGAACACGUGUUUGUACGUGGGGCCGACAGUGAUGACCCCGUUGCGGCCCGACAUCUUGAGCUUGAGGUAGGUGUAGUUGGGGACGACCAUGAACUUCGCGUAGCAUGGCCUCCCCAGUACUGCGUGGUAGGUUCCUCGGAACCCGACCACCUCGAACGGGAGGGUCUCCCUUCGGAAGUUGGAGGGCGUUCCGAAGCAGACGGGAAGGUCGAGUUGUCCGAGGGGCUGGACGCGCUUCCCAGGGAUGAUCCCGUGGAAAGGCGCAGCGCCUGCCCGGACCGAGGACAGAUCAACACGCAGGAGCCCGAGGGUCUCGGCGUAGAUGAUGUUGAGGCUGCUGCCUCCGUCCAUGAGGACCUUGGUGAGCCUGACGUCGCCGAUGACGGGGUCGACAACGAGCGGGUAUUUCCCCGGGCUCGGCACGUGGUCGGGGUGGUCGGCUUGGUCAAAGGUGAUGGGCUUGUCGGACCAGUCUAGGUAGACUGGCGCCGCCACCUUCACCGAACAGACCUCCCGACGCUCUUGCUUGCGGUGUCGAGCCGAGGCGUUCGCCGCUUGCCCACCGUAGAUCAUGAAGCAGUCGCGGACCCCGGGGAACUCUCCUGCCUGGUGAUCUUCCUUCUUGUCGUCGUCGCGAGCCCUGCCACCCUCCGCGGGUGGCCCGACCCUGUGGAAGUGGCGCCGAAGCAUAGCGCACUCCUCAAGGGUGUGCUUGACGGGCCCCUGAUGAUAGGGGCACGGCUCCUUGAGCAUCUUGUCGAAAAGGUUGGCACCUCCGGGGGGUUUCCGAGGGUUCUUGUACUCGGCGGCGGCGACAAGGUCGCGGCAAGUGGUGCCGGCGAGGAACGCGCCGAUGACAUCUGAAUCGGUGAUGUUGGGCAGCUCGGUGCGCUGCUUCGAGAAUCGCCGGAUGUAGUCCCAGAGAGACUCUCCCGGCUGCUGCCGGCAGCUUCGGAGGUCCCAGGAGUUUCCAGGGCGCACGUACGUGCCCUGGAAAUUGCCGGCGAAGGCUUGGACCAGGUCGUCCCAGUUGGAGAUCUGCCCCAGAGGCAGGUGCUCCAACCAGGUGCGAGCGGUGUCGGAGAGAAACAGUGGGAGGUUGCGGAUGAUGAGGUUGUCAUCGUCCGUCCCACCCAGUUGGUAGGCCAGCCGAUAGUCCGCGAGCCACAGUUCCGGUCUCGUCUCCCCCGAGUACUUUGUGAUAGUAGUCGGGGGUCAGAACCGGGUCAGGAAUGGCGCCCGUCGUAUGGCGCGGCUGAAAGCCUGCGGACCGGGUGGUUCGGGCGAGGGACUCCGAUCCUCCCCGCUGUCGUAGCGUCCCCCACGCCUGGGGUGGUAGCCUCGGCGCACCCUCUCGUCGAGGUGGGCCCGACGGUCGCGAUGAUGGUGCUCGUUGCCGAGGCGACCCGGGGCCGCAGGCGCUGUGUUGCGCGUGCGCCCGGUGUGGACCGAGGCUUCCCGCAUGAAUCGGGAAGUCGCGGCGCGAUGUUCCGAGGGGUACCCCUGCCUUCGGGAGGCGGAGCUUUCGGCCUGUCGGACCGCAGCGCCCUCCAGGAGAUUCUUGAGCUCUCCCUGGAUUCGCCGCCCCUCGGUGGUUGAUGGCUCUAGCAUCGCGCGGAGAAGCAUUGCUGCUGCAGCCAGGUUCUGGCCGACUCCACUGGAAGCGGGUGGCGGCCUUACCCUGACAUCGUCGGCGAUGCGGUGUUGGAUACCCUGGGGUAGAUGACACAUUUCUCCGGCCAGAGGUUGGCCCGCCCAUUCCUGCCCGACGUCCCGGCGGAUCGGCUCAAGUGCUCCUGCUCCCUCGUCGAGCCUGGCCGGCACCCCGCGGAUUUGCUCGAGCUGUGGGUCAUGACCCCCCGCUAGAACGGGGACCACAGCUAGCUCCCGUAGGAUGUCAACACGAGGCACAUGCCUAGGGAGAUCACCGUUCUCCAGCAUACCGAGAUGGUUGCCUUCAGAGGGACCCCCUAGAUCGACGUGGAAACAAUCACGACUUGGGCCAUAGUCCUCGUCGCCGAGGCUGCGGCUACCGUCGGAACAGUCGGAAAGGCAGUAGUCGCAUGCGGUCAUGAAGUCCCGCAUGGCACUGGGGUUACCAAGUCCGGAGAAAUCCCAACAGAAGUCGGGCUCGUCAUCUUCCUAGGACCCCGAGGGCCCGUAGGUCGAGACGUCCGUCAGCCGGUCCUAGGGUGACCGCAUACGAUACCCCAGAGGGUUCGGACUCGCCUCUACGAGAGCGUCCACCAAAGCGAAGCCGCUUGGCGGGUCGAGGCUGAAUCCAAGGGGCUUGAGAUGGGAAUCGGUCGGUACCUCUUGGUCGACGGGCGGUGAGGAAGUCACGUCAGGGACUGACUGCACCGUCGUCUCAGGUACGAGGGUGACACCUAGCAAGCCUUUCGCAAGCGUGCUGGCAUCGUCUGUUUGCUUGGAAUUGGCGUGUUGCGGGAAUACGACGCUCGUCUUCGUCUCAAACGCGAGGUCGAUGCUCGACGCGCCCCCCGUUGGGGCACCGGCGCCGUGGACUCGCUCGACAGCCGACGAGGUGCCGCCUCCUACUUGGCCUUGGUUGCCCCCCUCCUCCUCCGUCGGCGGGGGAGAGGGCGGGGUGAGCUCGAAUGUUGUUCUUCCACCACGCGGGGAAGACGUCGUCGAUUCCGCCGCCGGCGGGCGGGCUGUCGGCCGCCAUUGUCGCUGUCGCACGGCGGGGGGAGGAGUAUCAUGUCGUAGCUGCCGUCGAGGGACAUGAACUCAAGACUCCCGAAACGGAGCACCGUCCCAGGCUGGAAAGGUUGCUGGAGACUGCCCAUCUGGAGCUUGAUGGGAAGCUGUUCGUCAACACGCAGCAGUCCCCCUACCUGGCGCGCCAACUGUCGGCGUUUCGAGACCGGGGGUCCCUGGGCCGACGAGUGAAAUGUCCCCGCGUGCCCCAGCCCAGAUGGGUCGGCGCGAGACGGAGCACGAAGGGGGGAAGAAGGCAGCCGGAGCGAGAGAGAGAGAGGAAGAGGUGGAAAUCCCGCGACCUUCGUGUUUGUCCCGCGCCCAGGUCGGGUGCGCUUGCAGUAGGGGGUUACAAGCAUCCACGCGGUAGGGGGAGCGAGCGGCCUCACGCGAGCGCCUGUCCCGUCCUCUUCCCCGCGCGGCCAACCCCCUGUAAGAGGGCCCUGGUCCUUCCUUUUAUAAGCGCAAGGAGAGGAUCCAAGUGUACAAUGGGGGUGUAGCAGAGUGCUAACGUGUCUAGCGGAGGAGAGCUAGCGCCCUAAGUACAUGCCAUCGUGGCAGCCGGAGAGGUUUUGGCACCCGGUUCGUGUGGUGUCGUGGCCGUCGGAGGAGCGCUGGAGCCUGGCGGAAGGACAGUUGUCGGGGCUGUCGAGUCCCUGCUGACGUCCUCUUGCUUCCAUAAGGGGGCUGAGAGCCGCCGUCGUCAUAGAGCGUGCGGGGUGCCAUCAUUACUUGUCUGGCGGAGCGAGCCAGAUGGGACGCCGGUCUUGUUCCCCGUAGCCUGAGUCAGUUUGGGGUAGGGUAAUGAUGGCGCCUCCUGUUGACGUGGUCGGUCUGUGCCCUAAGUUGGGCGAUGUGGAGGCUCCUCCGAGGUCGAGGUCGAGUCUGUCUUCCGAGGCCGAGGUCGAGUCCGAGCCCCUGGGUCGGGCGAGGCGGAGACCGUCGGCGGAGGCCAGGGCUGAGUCCGAGCCCUGGGGUCGGGCGAAGCGGAGUUCGUCGUCUUCAGGGGCUGAGCCCGAGUCCGAGCCCUGGGGUCAGGCGGAGCGGAGUUCGCGUCUUCCGGGGCCGAGUCCGAGUCCGAGCCCUAGGGUCGGGCGGAGCGGAGUUCGCCGUCUUCCGGGGCCGAGCCCGAGUCCGAGCCCUGGGUUGGGCGGAGCGGAGUUCGCCGUCUUCCGGGGCUGAGCCCGAGUCCGAGCCCUUGGCCAGGCGGAGCGGAGUUCGCCGUCUUCUAGGGCCGAGCCCGAGUCCGAGCCCUGGGUCGGGCGGAGCGGAGUUCGCCGUCUUCCGGGGCUGAGCCCGAGUCCGAGCCUUGGGUCGGGCGGAGCGGAGUUUCCUAUGGUGCCUGAGGCCGGGCCUGACUGCCUGUCAGCCUCACUCUGUCGAGCGGCACAGCAGUCGGAGCGGCGCAGGCGGCGCUGUCCUUCUGUCAGGCCGAUCAGUGGAGCGGCGAAAUGACUGCGGUCACUUCGGCUCUGUCGACUGGAGGACGCGCGUCAGGAUAAAGGUGUCAGGCCACCUUUGCAUUAAAUGCCCCUGCGAUUUGGUCGGUUGGCAUGGCGAUUUGGCCAGGGUUGCUUCUUGGCGAAGACUGGGCCUCGGGCGAGCCGGAAGUAUGUUCGUCGCUGGAGGGGGGCCUCGGGCGAGACGGAGAUCCUCCGGGGUCGGCUGCCCUUGCCCGAGGCUAGGCUCGGGCGAGGCGUGAUCGAGUCCCUCGAAUGGACCGAUCCCUGACUUAGUCGCACCCAUCAGGCCUUUGUAGCUUUGUGCUGAUGGGGGUUACCAGCUGAGAAUUAGGAGUCUUGAGGGUACCCCUAAUUAUGGUCCCCGACAAACUUUGACCGGCUAUACUGGAUGUUUCGUAAUAUUUUACAACAUAAAAGUAAAGUUACGUAUUAUUGAGCUCCUAGAACAUAAAUAAGCACGAGGCUCGCGAGCCCGACAUGAAGCCCGCUGUUUGGGCCCGAUCCGAGCCUGGCACGACCCGGUUAUAUUUGGGCCCAGGCCGGUCCGGCACGAAUAAGCGGACUGGGCUUGGACAGAAAACUAGGCACGGUGGGCUAGCCCGGCACGGCCCGUUUACCUCUAAGCCCGUUAAACCCGCUUUUUUGCAUUAAAAUGUGCUUACUGGCCCGCUUAACCCGCUUUUUAACCAGUUUUUUCCGUUCUGGCCCGUUUAGACUCGCUGCGGGCCUGACUUAGACAGAAAAUUGAGUCUGUGGGCUUAGACGAUCCGGUCCGGUUUUCUAACCGUGCCUGGCGGGACGGGCCCAAAACGAGCCGGGCGGCCCGUUUGGCCAUCUCUACUUGGAGCCAGCGGCGGGAGACGCGUAGACGAGGAGCGCCGCGGUAGUAGGUGGAGGUGACGGUGCGGAAGCGCUCCUGGCCGGCGGUGUCCCAGAUCUGGGCCCUCACCUCCUUGCCGUCGAUGUGCGGCGUGCUCUGCGUUUGGAACUCCACCCCGAUGGUGGCCUUGGAGUGCGGGUCGAAUUCGUUGCGCGCGUACCGGGACAGCAGGUUGCUCUUCCCCAUCGUGCUCAGACCGAGGUUUUAGGGGUUCGGAGCAAAUUUAAAAUAGAGGUCCAUCAAACUAUUGUUAUAUAAAAAUGGUAUCAAUAUAUAAAGGAAGACACAUCUAAAAAUAUUUAUACCAAGUAACAAAUAAAUAAAAAAUAUAUAUUAUAGUAUUAUCUUAAAAGUUCUUUUAACAUGUUUAAAUACGACCGGGUUGUGAACGCUUCAUGGCUGCUAAUUAUUCGACAUUUCAUUAUUAAGCUAUUGUGUCUGAUAAUCUAAUUACUGAAUGUAUAAUUAAGUUCGGAGCCCUAUAUAAUUGGGGGCCCGGGGCGGCGGCCCCUCCGCCCCACCCUCAGGGCCGCCACUGACCGUGCUGGGGUAGUGGUGCCGUGGUGGGGUGGUGAGAGGUGCGAGAGCGAGACGAGUGGGAGGUCGCACGUCGCAGUUGCUGGUGCUGGUGGGUACAGAUGGCCAAACAUACCGCCCGACCCGGCCUGGCCUGUUUUGGGACCGGUCUAUCUAAGCCUGCGGGCUUGAUUUUCUAUUCGAACCCGGCCCGCAGCGGGACUAAACGGGUCAUAGGGGCCGCGGGGGCGUCGCGUUUCGUCCAUGGUUUAAGAAUUUUUUUUAGUAUAACUAAACAACAAGCACACACUUGUAGGUAGAGAUAAAUAGAACAGCUAGCGUUACAACCAGAAGUAGUAGUGGGUGUUCUCUUCUCUGCCGCGCUUAGCUUAUUCAUUCAGGACGAGCGGUUACGUUGCCCAUGCAUGCACAGCAACGCUUUCGAUGGCAUCUCCAAAAACCAAAAAUACAAAAUCAAGCGAUAUGGAAAUGCAUGCCGUACGUCGGCCGGCCGGCCGGCCGGCCUAUAGAUGGCAGACGCAUCUGUAGUGGUAGGCGCUGUUGAUGGGGUCGCUGGCGUCGAUGGGCACCUCCUGGACGCUGCACCUGUGCCGGCAGCCUCGGCACUCGUUGUAGGUGCACGUCGUCGGAGCCCUGGACCCGACCAGCUUCCUCCUCCCGCCGCCGACGCCGGUAAUAAUAGCCUGCUGCUGCUCCGUGUUCAACACCGGCCAACCAGCAGCUGCAGCAGUCGUCGUCAUCGGCGCUUCUUCUUCGCUGCCGGAUCUGCUUCUAAAUUCCUAUAUAUACGACAUGCAUUAUGUUUCGUCAUAUAUAUACAUCAAUACAUGCAUUUCAUCCAACAAGCUGGCUUUGAAGUUUGAGCAAGUGGAGCCGGCCGGCAUUAAUUACCAGCAGCUGCUCUGCCUGAAGGGCUGCUACUACUUCGUCGGUUCGCGGCGAGCCUGCUGUUGGAGCAUCAGCUACUACGGCACCAUCACCUGCUAACAAAAAAACGCGCGAAAACCAUUAUAUAUCGUCUGCUGGUUGGUCGACAAUAAUUGAAUUGACUGCUAUUUGGAGGCUGGAGACGACUGGAUCAGCCUGGAACUGGAGUAUACCAGUCGUCACCACUAGUAGUACAACCACGAGGAGUAGACGGCACGGCGCUACACAACAAUGCCUGCUUCCGUGUGCUGCUGCCAUCUUUCAUUCGUUUCUUUCAGGCUAUGGAGCCCUAUAUAGCUGCUAGCUCGACGCGGACUACCUAGUGGGGCGUUUAUAUACUACUAUAUAUAUACCGCGCGAGCAGAGAGUGACGGUAGAUAAAUACUUAAUAUAAUUUAUAAGCUAAAUUAUAUAUAAUAUAAUCUUGAAAGGAAAUAAAGAGCAGGCGAUUUUCAGAAUUUGAUGUAACAUUAACGACGGAGCAGCUGGGUAAUAAACAUCUAUCAUCUUUCAAGCUUUGGAGCCCUAUAGCUAGCUCGACGACGCGGACUAGCUAUAGUGAGGCGUUUAAAAGACACUCGGCAAAAUCAAUUGACAUUUGGCAAAGAAGCCGAAUUCCGAUAAUGAUAUUACCGUGCAGGCAGAGUGUGACAUUAAGUAAAUACUUAUACGCUACUUCCACACCAUUCCAAAAUAUAAUUCGUUUUAAACUAAUUGUAAAUUCAUUAAGUAACAUGUGAGUGUAGUUUGCAUGUAUGUAUAUAUUCAUCAUUAUUAUUUGAAUGAAUGUGAUAGAAAAAAUUUAAAGUGGGCUAAAAAGAACUGUAUAUUGUUUUAGAACGGAUGAAGUAGUUUAUAAGCUUAAUUAUAAUUAUAUAAUACUGAAAAGAAACAAAGAGCCCUUAUAUUACCCGUGUGGCCAGUGGCCAUCGAUCAUGCAUCCGGAUGUAGAUGGGGAGCGAAGCUGCUGGAGGGAGAAAAAGUAAACGGCCGCGGGCAUUACAUGCCUGCAUGCAUGCUGCAAUUAAUGUACGUAGCGGCAGACGUAUACCGGGCCAGGGCAUAUAGUGCACGGUUUGCACAUUCUAUGGUUCCAGCGGCUUCCGUAAAAUUAUAUAUUAAUUACCCGGGUCGCCCACAGUAGCUAGCUAGCUCCAUCAUGCAUGCAAUUACCUUCUAGGGACAUGGAUCAACACAUGCAAGAGUUUGAACGGCGCCCCGCUGCCGCUGUGUGUCCUCCACAGGUACGGACUACGGACACGGUGGCCGCCCCGCCCUGUUGAUCAACAGCAGCGUAAAAAUGAUCGGUCGGUCUAUCAUCAGAGUAUCAGUCGAUCAUGCGGCGCCCACACGUCGUCACGCUGCAUUGCCUGAACGUUUCACGAGGCUCCGGAAUCCGGAUCGCGCUCGGGCCCCGGGGCCGGCCGAAGAAGCUAGCCAAUAACGGGAAGGUUCUUCCAGCCUCCACGGCUCCACCGCCGCGCGCUGGCUGUACUCGUCUGCCCGGCCCGUCCGGCCAGAAUGCAUGGCCAGCGCCUGCCCAACGUACGGGUUCUCCACCAGAUUGACAGGUAGGGAUAAUAACUGAGAAUUCUCGUUUUUAUCACCUCAUCUGUCUUCGUGAUAAAAAAAGUUUUUCUAUGGGGAUCCCACGAAUGGUAAUCUCCGUUUAAAUUAUAAUUAUGCAGUAGUUCCUUUGUUGUUAACAUAAAACAUUGUUAAUUAUACACAUUGUUUGAUAUAAAAAAUCAUUACAUAAACAUUAAAAUGAAUACAUAUAUAUAUAUAUAUAUAACAAGAGAUCUUUUGAUAAGAUAAUUAAUUAUUUUUAUCAUAAGCUAUUACAUAAAAGCAUUGUUAUGUAUAAGUUCAACGGGUCCCAUACGGAAAACGGAACCGGAAUUCCCCUUACCUAUCCCGCCAUCCCGGUUUACUUUACUAUCUCUAUCCCAAAUCGAGGAUCGAGUCCAAUUACCAUCGGGGGUAUGAUCCCUGCGGCAUUCAUCAGGCUACAGAUUCAAUGUACAGGGCUACAUGCAGAUGCAGGGCAGCGAAGAAACAGUGCAGUGGCAGCGAAGUGUGCAGUGCGGUGGCAGUGCAGUGGCGACGACGAUCUGCGUGCGACUAGUAGCGUCCACGUCCAGCGUGCAGGGGCACCGGGCAUGGCAGGGGGUGGCCUGCGCGUGGCGUAGACCGUGUCCUGGCUGGCCGAUCCCACUGCGCUGUGUCACGGUAGCAUGCAUGCAGGCCUGUUCGUCCCGGUUCAACCGUACCGGGGGACAAGGACAAGCAGGAAAGGAAAGAUUCACUAACUAGACCAGGAUCAGGAUCAGGAUCAGGAUCAGGAAUCUGACACCCUAUGCUUCCUUCCGUCGCUCCUGAGUCCUGACCGUCUUGCUAGACCAGGUCCUGCAGGUAGCUAGCCGCGACAUCCGAAUACGGUGCGUGCUGGAUCUGGGCACGUUACGAUCAGGAUUCUGGAUUGCUCGUCUCAUUGGUGUAGAUAACGUGCUAGCUGCUCCGAGUAGAAACUUGAAAGAUGCCCAAAUGAAUCGGUCCGUUCGAUAAGCUCGUAACCCGGCAUAGUUCUAGUUCGGUCCAAACAUGACCCGUCACAUUGGGUAUCAGGUCCGUGCAGGUCCUGCCCGAUCAUGGGCCAUGUCUGAGCCUCAGGCGCGGCGAGGCUCGGUGCGACGGGCUCGACCCGGCCAACCCGGUUUUGUGUUUUCUCGUUUUUCAAUAGAAAUAUCUAUAGUACAUAUUGUUAUAAGGUAUAAAACACAAAAAAUAUAUGUGUCUUGUUGGUUAAAUGUGUGUAGAUAGGCUUUUAAAAGCCACAACCAUGCUUUAAAUUCUCAUUUUUACAUAUUUUUAGUCUUUUUUGCUAUUUAACUGUGAUGGGCUACCAUAGCCCUUUAGUCCAUAAACCCAGCCAGUACGAUAAACAGUCUAACAGAUCGUGCAUGUACCUCAUCCGUGGCUCACCAGCAUGCCUGUAAACUAAACCGGAUCGGGCCUGACUUAUUACCCCAAAUCGUGUCAGGUGUGCUGGGAGGUCUGUUUGGACAUCUAUCUAUAUAUACCGAGUGUUCAUCGGACGAGGCAUCGAUCUCCCUCUCACGUGUACUGUUCAUGUUCUAGGUUCACGAGUCAGUCGGUGCUCCGAUCCGAGGUGAAUAGCUGAUGCAGAAGCAUGCAUGCACAUCUCUCGCCCCGAACAGCACUAACGUACGGGGCCAUUCGAUCAGUCGAGCUUCACCAACCUUUUCAAUCUGCGUGCGACUAGUAGCUGAUGCACAAGCAUGCAUGCACAUCUCUCGCCCCGAACCACACUAACGUACGGGGCCAUGCAGUGGCAGCGAAGUGUGCAGUGCGGUGGCAGUGCAGUGGCGACGACGAUCUGCGUGCUGACUAGUAGUAGUGUAGUAGUAGCGUCCACGUCCAGCGUGCAGGUGCACGGCCGGCAGGGGGUGGCCUGGCGUGGCGUAGACCGUGUCCUGGCUGGCCGAUCCCACUGCGCUGUGUCACGGUAGCAUGCAUGCAGGCCUGUUCGUCCCGGUUCAACCGUACCGUGGGGGGACAAGCACAAGCAGGAAAGGAAAGAUUAACUAGACCAGGAUCAGGAUGCGGAAUCUGACACCCAACGCUUGCCUCUCCGGCCUCCGGCUCUACCCUCCGCUUGCUAGACCAGGUGUCCUGCAGCUACAGGGUAGGUAGUGUUAGGAUUUAUGGGCUAGGCCCAAUUGAGAAAUUCAAAUAAAUUCCAGGAAAAUCACAAAAGCCCAUAUAAGUGGAUGACUAAGGAAUAGGUGGAACCAAUAGCACCAUAUUGCUAGCUCUAGUGGAGUAUAGCUAGCUUAAAUAUGGAAGCCACACUCACUCACCAAGUCAUGGAUGAGAGGAGAGAGUGUGGAGAGCCACACGCGCGCGCGCUCGCUGGCCUGGCCAGGGCGGGGCGAAGGGCGCGGGCGCACGACAUGCGCGUGAAUGGUCCGCCGAAAUCCGGCCCCUCGCCUUGCGGGGGCGCGGCUACCUUUUGCCGUUUGAUUUUUUGGUUUCUUGGCUGUUACGCUUAUCCUAACAGCCUCCAAAUCACCCCAGUCGCAGAGGUGCAUCUGCGAUCAGGAGAGCAGGUCUCCGGAACCCUUCGUCUUCUAGAUCCUGCACCGGGAGAGGGCGAAUAAGGUUUUUGGGAAGCGUCUUCACGUGACUGCUCGUGAUCUGCUGACCUCGUCGACCCUGCUGAUUUCGCUACUUCGACAUCGUCGACCCUGCUGAUUCCGGCGCGUGCCAUCUAUCAGUAAGUCUAAUCAGUACGCAUCAGCUGAUUUGACUUGUUAUUUCAGUUCUUCUGAUUUGGUCAUGAUUUAUAUUCGGAAUUUAAACUGGAAUUUGUCUAAUUAUUCAACAAUCUAAAAAGCUUAUUGUAGACAAUUUCCUAGUUUUUCUAUGGCUGCUUUUGCCGACGCGCUGAAGCCAGAAAAGUUUAAUGGUAUGCACUUUAAGAGAUGGCAAGUCAAGGCCACGCUCUGGCUUACUGCUAUGAAUGUCUUCCAUGUUAGUAAAGGCAGACCUGAGGGUCCACUGACUCCUGAACAGGAGAAAGAGUACGACCAUGCCAAUACUAUGUUCACGGGAGCCGUUCUUAGCGCCCUUGUUGACCGUCUGGUUGAUGCGAAUAUGCAGUACACAGACGGGAAAGAGUUGUGGGAUGCACUUACUACUAAGUAUGGUGCAUCAGAUGCUGGCAGUGACCUGUAUAUCAUGGAGAGCUUUCAUGAUUAUAAGAUGGUUGAUAAUCGCUCUAUUGUAGAGCAAGCUCAUGAAAUACAGUGUAUAGCCAAGGAGCUCGACCACCUUAAGAUAGUCCUUCCUGACCGAUUUGUGGCUGGGUGCAUUAUUGCAAAGUUGCCUUCUACAUGGAGGAACUUCGCCACAGCUCUGAAACAUAAGAGACAGGAGAUAUCAGUUGAAAAUCUGAUAGCGUCUCUGGAUGUUGAGGAGAAAGCUCGGGCUAAGGAUACGAGAUCUAAAGGAGGCGAGGGCAACUCCAGCGCCAACAUGGUUCAAAGGAACCACAACAAGGGAAAAGGAAAGCCAAAAUCUAACAAGCCCAACAAAACUACCAACUUCAAGAAGAAGAAGAACAAGGCUGAAUUGACAUGUUUCGCAUGUGGCGAGGCGGGUCAUUUUGCCAAGGAUUGUCCCGAUCGAGCGGAUCGCCGUGGCAAAAAGGGCAAUGUCAACACAGUGGUCGCUAGCAAUGAGGAAGACAAAGGCUAUGGUAAUUUACCUUUCAUCUUCUCAGUAUUUCAAUCACCUAGCUGGUGGCUUGAUACUGGUGCUAAUGUUCAUGUGUGUUCUGACAUUAACUUGUUAUCUUCUUAUCAGGGCGCCCGGGAUUCUUCCGUGCUAAUGGGGAAUGGGUCACAUGCUUCUGUUCAUGGCACUGGCAUGGUGGAUCUGAUGUUUACUUCGGGAAAGAUCGUGCAGCUGAAGAACGUGCAUCAUGUCCCUUCUAUACACAAGAAUCUCGUUAGCGGAACCCUUCUAUGUAGAGAUGGGUUCAAGGUAGUUUUGGAGUCCAAUAAAUUAGUUGUGUCCAAGUCUGGACAAUUUAUUGGUAAAGGCUAUGAUUGCGGAGGCUUGUUCCGCUUUUCUUUGUUAGAUUUCAAUAAUAAGUCUGUGAACCAUAUUUGUGCUAAUGUUGAUGAUCUUGCGAGUAUUUGGCAUUCUCGUUUGUGUCAUAUUAAUUUUGGCUCUAUGUCUCGGCUUGCAACCAUGAGUUUAAUUCCGAAUAUCACCAUAGUCAAAGGUUCUAAGUGUCAUAGUUGUGUGCAGUCGAAGCAACCUCGAAAGCCUCAUAAGGCUGCUGAGGAGAGACACCUGGCACCACUAGAACUCAUACAUUCUGAUCUUUGUGAGAUGAAUGGUGUGUUGACAAAAGGUGGUAAGAGAUACUUCAUGACAUUGAUUGAUGAUGCGUCUAGAUUUUGCUAUGUAUACUUGCUAAAAACUAAAGAUGAGGCUUUAGACUACUUUAAAAUCUAUAAGGCUGAGGUUGAAAACCAACUAGAGAGAAAGAUCAAACGUCUUAGAUCAGAUCGUGGUGGCGAGUUCUUUCCCAAAGUCUUUGAUGAUUUCUGUGCAGAACAUGGCAUUAUUCAUGAGAGGACUCCUCCCUAUUCACCAGAGUCAAACGGUAUUGCUGAAAGGAAAAAUCGUACGUUGACUGACCUGGUGAAUGCCAUGUUAGACACUUGUGGUUUAUCUAAGGCAUGGUGGGGGGAGGCAGUCCUGACUUCAUGGCAUGUUCUGAAUAGAAUUCCUAUGGGCAAAGAAGAGAAAACCCCUUAUGAGAAGUGGGUUGGAAGAAAACCAUCACUUUCAUACUUGCGCACUUGGGGGUGCAUGGCGAAAGUCAAUGUACCAAUUAAUAAAAAGCGCAAGCUUGGUCCAAGGACAGUGGAUUGUGUCUUUCUUGGAUAUGCUUCGUGUAGCAUAGCAUAUAGAUUUUUAGUAGUUAAAUCUGAAGUUCCUGAUGUGUAUGUUGAUACUAUUAUGGAAUCACGUGAUGCUACUUUCUUUGAGCAUAUAUUUCCAAUGAAAGACAUUCAUAGCAAUUCUAGAUACUCUUCUGAGAUAAUUCCUGAACAUAAUACACCUAUUGAGAGUUUUGAACAGCCACAUGAAAUUGUCCUAGAGGAGGAUGACAAUGAUGCUCCUAAAAGGAGCAAGAGACAAAGGGUUGAAAAAUCCUUUGGUGAUGAUUUCAUUGUGUACCUUGUGGACGAUACUCCUACUACCAUUGCGGAAGCAUUUGCAUCUCCAGAUGCAGAUGAUUGGAAAGAAGCAGUUCAUAAUGAGAUGGACUCUAUUCUUUCAAAUGGUACGUGGGAAGUCACUGAUCGACCCUAUGGAUGCAAACCUAUGGGUUGUAAGUGGGUGUUUAAAAAGAAGCUCAAGCCUGAUGGUACAAUUGAAAAGUACAAGGCUAGGCUUGUGGCUAAAGGCUAUACUCAGAAAGAAGGAGAAGACUUCUUUGAUACUUACUCACCUGUUGCUAGAAUGACCACUAUUCGAGUACUACUUUCUUUGGCUGCCUCGUAUGGUCUCCUUGUUCAUCAGAUGGAUGUAAAGACAGCUUUUCUUAAUGGAGAGCUGGACGAGGAAAUCUAUAUGGAACAACCUGAUGGAUUUGUAGUAAAGGGUCAAGAAAGCAAGGUGUGCAAGUUAUUGAAAUCUUUGUAUGGUCUGAAGCAAGCACCAAAGCAGUGGCAUGAGAAGUUUGACACGACUCUAACGUCUAUAGGCCUUGCCAUUAAUGAGGCAGACAGGUGUGUAUAUUAUCGCUGUGGUGGGGGCGAAGGAGUUAUAUUGUGCUUAUAUGUUGAUGAUAUAUUGAUAUUUGGCACAAACAUUGAUGUGAUCAAUGAAGUCAAGUCUUUUCUAUCAAAGAGUUUUGAUAUGAAAGAUCUGGGAGAAGCUGAUGUGAUUCUAAACAUCAAGCUGAUUAAGGCAGAUGGUGGGAUUACUCUCUCGCAAUCUCACUAUGUUGAAAAGGUUUUGAAGCGAUUUGGCUUCUCUGAGUGCAAACCUUCUCCAACACCUUAUGAUCCCAGUGUGACACUGCGAAAGAACAAGAGAAUUGGUUUAGACUGUAACGCCCUGAAUUUGGGGGUAGAAUUUUUUCUUCUUUUUUUCUCACCAAAUUCGGGCGUUACCCUCUUUUCUCUUUCCCCGUUGGCUCCUUCUUCCCAAUUUCAAACCAGUAUAGCGACAAGUGUCCGUGUCAUGUAUAAACCUAAGUGUCAUGGGUGUUGCAUCAUGCCGAAGCACAUUUCUUUGUCUGAUGUUGAGUGUUCGUCUCGUUCCGUUCCGGAUUUCGAUUCGCGAUUUAAUUCCGUUUAGUGGUCCGCACACGUCGUGGGUUUUCCAUCCGCGAAGUGGCCCGGCCCAGCCCAGCCCAGCCCAGCCCUGCCCUGCCCGGCCCGGUCCGGCCCGGCCCUGCGCGCCCCUGGCGCCCAACCCCCCCCAUGCGCCCCCCUCCUCUCCUCCCUCUCUCAUUUGGAUCUCCCGCGCAACAACCUCUCCUCUCCCUCUUCCACCUCUCUCUCCCCGUGGUGCCCUAGGAUUUGGAGACGGCGAUCACCGGAUUUUGGACCCCGAGGUGAGCUCCCCUCCCCUCCCCUUCUCCUCUCUCUCUCUCUCUCCCUCUCCUUCUUCCUCCCCACGCGCGCCCCCCUUUUUCUUCCCCUGCUCGCGCGCGCCCCUGCCCGGCCCCGCGCGGCGGCGCGGCCCCGCCCGGCCUCCCCACGCGGCGGCGCCCGCGGCCCCGCCCUGCUCCCCCGCGGCGCGCGACCCCGCCCCGGCCCCGCUCCCUGCUUCCCCGGCGCGGCGCGGCCCCCCGACCCGGCCCUGCGCGCGGCGGCGCGGCCCCGCCCGGCCUCCCCUCGCGGCGGCGCCCGCGGCCCCGCCCUGCUCCCCCCCGCGGCGCGCGACCCCGCCCCGGCCUCCCCGCGGCGGCGCUCGCCCCCGUCCCAGCCCCGUGCGCGGCGGCGCGGCCCCGGUGGCCCCUGCUCGCCCGGUGCGGCCCCGGCGGCUCCCUGCUCGCUCGGCGCGGCCCCCGGAGCGGCGGCGUGACCCCGGCGCGGUCCGGCCCCUGGCCGGUUCAACCGCCCCCCCCGGUUCAACCGCCCCGGCCCGGUCGCCCCACCCCCGUCCCGGCCUCGCCCGACCGUGUCCUCGCUCGCCCGCGCUCGCGAUGAUUAUUUUUGUUAGUCGAUAGUUAAUGUCAAACUCCGUUAGUUAGCGUGUUGCGUCGCGCGCUUCGCCGCACGACGGAUUUGUCUAAUUUCAGAUUCUAUCUAUGUGUUGCGUCGUGCGCUUCGUCGCGCGACGAUCCAGUUUAAUUUCAGGUUGUUUAAGGUGUAACGCCGCGUGUGUAUUCACGCGACGUUCCACUUUGGACUCAGUUUAGUCGACGUAUGCCGUCGUGCGUCUCGCCGCGCGACCAUCCUUUUUAUUUAUCUCCACCUGCUUAUAAUGAUUAGACAUGAAACAUGACUUUACUUUACGCUAAACAUAGUGUCUACAUUAAAUUUCCUUCCAUUAAGCGAGUCGUUAAUUUAUAAUCAUGUAACGUGAUCGUUUCUCGACUGUCUUUUCCUCUUUCUCUCUUAACCGUACUCGCGAGCCCGCGUGGAACGUCUGUUUACUUAUUGCAUUCUAUUGUAUGGUGUACUGUUCUUUUGUAUUAAAUAUGUGUAUGUAUGUAUGUUUGCGCUCGCAUAGAGAACGAUCCGGUCGAAGAGCCCGAGGAACCCGCAGGAGAAGCCCCUGAGCAGCAGUCGAUUGGUGGAGACAAGUGUCCCUUGACCUAUCUCUGUCCUAUUCAUUAUUUAAUUCACCUCCCGCAUUACACAUUUAUACUUAAGGAUUGACUAGCUUUUGUUAUCCAUAUCCUUGUUUACCUAUUUGGGUUGGAUUAUUAUUGUUUAGCUUUAUGCUAUGCUCAAACUCUAAUCAAUGAACAUGAUGAGAUUAUCUAUGAUACGCUGUUUUCCCUUCUCUUAUUAUGAUGUUAUGCUUGUGGUCUUCAAGGGGGCUCGAGCGGUUUCUCGAGUGCCUCUCCGUAAGGACCUGUUCUAUGGAUGACCGCCCGGGAAAACAGUGCAACCAUGAGGGUGGAAUGGGAUGCCCUUAGCUGAAUAAUUAGAGGAUCCGGGGUGUAGAUCACUUAGCCGUUGUGCCGUCAAUGGGGCUCGGUGUAUGCGACUCGCUCUACCAAGUUUGGGUUCGCCCCUUGGGGAGGAGUGCGGUGCAUUUAGGAAACCUAACGGGUGGCUACAGCCCCGGGGAAUCUUUGUAAAGGCUACGUAGUGAUGCCCUGCUGGGUCACCUUGGUAGUGAUCAAUGGAGAGUCAUGAUCUCCGGGCAGAAUGGGAAUCACGGCUUGUGGGUAAAGUGCACAACCUCUGCAGAGUGUUUGAAAACUGAUAUAUCAGCCGUGCUCGCGGUUAUGAGCGGCCAAGGGAGCUCCAGUGAUUAGUGGUACUUGAUCAGAGAUACUUUGGUACAGGUGGCUAUGAGAUCGAUGGUUUUGGUUAUGACUAUGGUGCUGGUAAGUGGUAUUCUUUCCGUUUGGAAAGGGUACAUCGGGCUAAUAACUUGGGUUAAUGCUAAAACCUGGCUUUCUAUUAGUAAAUAAUAAUCUGACCAACUAAAAGCAACUGCUUGACUUAUCCCCACAUAAAGCUAGUCCACUACAGCCAAACAGGAUACUUGCCGAGUAUGUUGAUGUGUACUCACCCUUGCUCUACACACCAAACCCCCCAUCCCCAGGUUGUCAGCAUUGCAACCACUGCUCAGGCGAAGAUGAAGCUGUGGAAGGAGACUUCCAGGAGUUCCAAGACUACGACGAGUUCUAGGCGUGGGUUAGCGGCAACCCCCAGUCGGCUGCCUGUGAAGGCCGCGGUUAUCUACGUUUCGUUUUCGCACUUUGAUUUAUUGUAAGGACUAUAUGGACGUCUCAGACGUAUGAUGUAAUCGACUAUUAUUUCCCUUUUAAUACUAUUUGAGCACUGUGUGAUGAUGUCCAUGUUAUGUAACUGCUGUGUACGUGAAUAACUGAUCCUGGCACGUACAUGGUUCGCAUUCGGUUUGCCUUCCAAAACCGGGUGUGACAUAGACCAAUUGAGAUACUCUCAGAUUGUCGGUUCACUCAUGUAUCUUGCUGGUGCAACAAGGCCCGAUAUCUCGUUUGCUGUGAGCAAAUUGAGUAGGUUCAUGUCAAACCCCGGGACUGAUCAUUGGCAUGCACUUGAGCGGGUUAUGCGCUACCUGCAAGGUACAAUGAGUUAUGGAAUUCACUAUUCUGGUCAGCAUGCAGUACUUGAAGGAUAUAGUGAUUCGAACUGGAUAUCUGAUGCAGAUGAGCUUUAUGCCACCAGUGGUUAUGUCUUUACUAUUGGUGGAGGUGCGGUAUCAUGGAGGUCAUGCAAGCAGACCAUUUUGACGAGGUCAACCAUGGAAGCCGAGCUAGCUGCACUUGACACAGCAACCGUUGAGGCAGAAUGGUUGCGUGAACUCUUGAUGGACUUGCCGGUGGUUGAGAAACCAAUACCAGCUAUCCUUAUGAACUGUGACAAUCAGACAGUGAUUGCUAAAGUGACGAGUUCUAAGGAUAAUGGAAAGUCAUCAAGACAUGUCAAAAUACGUUUGAAGUCUGUCAGAAAGUUGAGAAACUCCGGAGUUAUAAGUGUGACUUAUAUUUCAACAGAUAAAAAUCUGGCAGAUCCUUUUACCAAGGGACUACCACGUAAUGUGAUAGAAAUCGCAUCGAGAGAGAUGGGUAUGAGACCCGAAUAAAGUUGCCAUGGUGGGAAUCCAGUCUAUGUGAUCGGAGAUCCCGUGAAUUAGGUCCUGGGAAGAACAAGCCAUUGGUGAACUGAGGAGAGUAACCUUUGACCCUCUCUAAGUAAAGAUGCAAUACUCUCAAAUGCUGUAAGGCAGGUUGGCUUUAUGCCUUAAUGUGUUCUGUUGGCUUGUAUUAGCGAAGAUGUUGUCCUGCAGAACAUUCUUUGAAAGAACACACCUAUAUGAGUUAGACUGUCUAACGUCGCAGUCUAUGAGAUUUGGGUGAUCUCUAGUAAACUCAUGAAGAGACCUUGGAGUACGACGUAUAUGCUCCACCCGAGAAGGGGACUACUGGUAGCCAAGUACUGGUCAUGACUUCAAGUGAAACCCAUUCACGCAAAACUUGCAAUUUAAGGCAUAGUCCAUUGUCCAAGUUGUGGGUUGGUGUAGCUUGGAGUACUAGGCGAAAGUUCAACUUAACAGUCUCUGCUGAAAAACUAGUAUAUUAAACAGUAGUGAACAGUGGCGAAAAUUGCAGAUGGACAUUUGAGAUCUGGUGGGGGAUUGUUAGGAUUUAUGGGCUAGGCCCAAUUGAGAAAUUCAAAUAAAUCCCAGGAAAAUCACAAAAGCCCAUAUAAGUGGAUGGCUAAGGAAUAGGUGGAACCAAUAGCACCAUAUUGCUAGCUGUAGUGGAGUAGAGCUAGCUUAAAUAUGGAAGCCACACUCACUCACCAAGUCAUGGAUGAGAGGAGAGAGUGUGGAGAGCCACACGCGCGCGCGCUCGCUCGCCUCGCCUCGCCUCGCCUGGCCGGGCCGGGCCAGGCCGGGGCGGGGCGGGGCGAAGGGCGCGGGCGCACGACAUGCGCGUGAAUGGUCCGCCAAAAUCCGGCCCCUCGCCUUGCGGGGGCGCGGCUACCUUUUGCCGUUUGAUUUUUUGGUUUCUUGGCUGUUACGCUUAUCCUAACCGAUCGCUAUAAAAUCUCAACUGAUUGCGAGAUUUUCGUGGGCGGAUAAGCACGGGGGGUCGCGGACUCGGCCCUAUAAAAGGAGCCUGGCAGCCAGCCUCCAAAUCACCCCAGUUCGCUUUCGCCUCUCUUCAUAGCUGAGCCGCCUUUUAGUUCCCUUCGUCCCGACCGCAGAGGUGCAUCUGCGAUCAGGAGAGCAGGUCUCCGGAACUCUUCGUCUUCUAGAUCCUGCACCGGGAGAGGGCGAAUAAGGUUUUUGGGAAGCGUCUUCACACGACUGCUCGUGAUCUGCUGACCUCGUCGACCCUGCUGAUUUCGCUACUUCGACAUCGUCGACCCUGCUGAUUCCGGCGCGUGCCAUCUAUCAGUAAGUCUAAUCAGUACGCAUCAUCUGAUUUGACUUGUUAUUUCAGUUCUUCUGAUUUGGUCAUGAUUUAUAUUCGGAAUUUAAACUGGAAUUUGUCUAAUUAUUCAACAGCUAGUAGCCGCGACAUCCGAAUACGGUGCGUGCUGCUGGAUCUGGGCAAGAACACGCGUUACGAUCAGGAUGCACAAUAUAUAACUCAAACUUAUAAUCUAUUGAUUGCAAGCAUUAUGCACUUACUACUACACCAAACAUAAUUUUUAGGUAUGACUCUAGUCAUAGUAGGCUAUAAUGGGUGCUCCGCCACUGCGUGCUGCCGUGCUGGUGCUGUUGCUGCUAUGAGACAGAGAUGCCAAACGGAUCGGUCCGCCCGAUAAGCCUGUAAAUCGGCAUGGUUUUAUAGUCCUGUUCAAACACGACCCGUCACGUUGGUUACCAGGUCGUGUCCGGACUCCAGACACGGCACUGCGAAAUCAACCCGACACGACUAGAUUUUAUGUUUUCCCAAUUUUUUAAUAGAAAUAUCUACAUUACACGUGGUUAUAAGUAUAAAAUAUGAAAAUACAUGUGUCUUGUUAGUUAAGUGCGUGUGGAUAGGUUUUUAAAAGCUACAACCAUGGUUUAAAUCCUCAUUUUUGCAUAUUUUAGUCUUUUUUGUUAUUUAACUGUGAUGGAUUAACAUAGACCCGUUAGGACUAUCGAGCCAUAAGCCGAGCCGGUACGAUAAACAGCCUAAUUGAUCGUGCAUGUGCCUCGUUUGUGGCCCGCGUCCGCGUGCUGGCAUGGCAUGUCCAAUAGACCAAACCGGACUUAUCCUAAAUCGUGUCCCGUCUGAGCGGGCUCGGACCGUGAUGUAGUGUUCAUCGGACAAGGCAUCGAUCUUCCUCUCACGUACUGUUCAUGUUCUAGGUUCACGAGUCAGUCGGUGCUCUGAGGUCGGUCGGAGCUAAAUAGCGGAUGCAGAAGCAUGCAUGCACGUCUCUCGCCCGAACAGCACUAACGUACGGAAAAAAUUUGCUGCAGCCUGGCUACAAACCAGAAUAUAUGCAGCCCCUCACAAAAAGGAUGAUAAACCCCACCUACAGAUCCACCAGGUAACGUUUUAGUUGUGUUAUUGUUACUGCGGGUGGGAUUUAUCAUCCUUUUUGUAAGAGGCUGCAAACAUCCUGAUUUGCAGCCGGACUGCAGCAAAUUUUUUUCUAACGUACGGGGCCAUUCAGUCGAGCUUCACCAACCUUUUCGACCAAACGAUCAAAACUCAAGUAGCUAUAGCUUUAUCUGAGGAGCUCGGCUGCACUCGAGAGGAGGAGCUGGAGAGGGAAAAAUGGAUCGGGGCUCCUUUCUUUGGUCGGACGACUCGGACCUAGGAGCAGUGUGUGGCUGUUUUCGCAUCUUGAAUUGCCUAGGUGAUGUGAGAAGGGCAGCUGCGUGUUUAUGGUGUCGGGAUAACCGGAUAAGGUAGAGAGACAGAGAGGGCAAGGGCAAAUUUUGGGAGGCUCCAUCCUCAUACACAUUUUAGUCCUUUGGAUAUACGUAAAGUAGUAGAAGAAGAGAAGAUAGGUGGACGUGCUCCUCCUACACUAAUCCAUUCAUCAUCACAUUACUAAAAAGUCGCUAAUCCAUCCAUCAUCACAUCACAUAAGUUUAUCUCCAUUCACAAGUAAUACAAGUCUCUUCAUUAGGAACUUUGGCAUUAAAAUAAAUUAUGAGUUAACUCGUUUUCAUAAGCUUCAUGUGGAUUGCCAUCGUAUUUCCUUCUCCAUGUUGAUUUCUUAUGUUCCUUUCACUUAGCACUAUGCAAGUAACAUAUGGUUACAUAAAGAGCAUGGUUGCAUACACAGCCAAAGCAACAACUAGCAAUCUGAAUAAACAGUUCAGAGCUCAGUGCACACAUUCAACUCAAAAUAGCAAUUGGACACAUAUAUGAUGUUAUAUGCCCCAGGUGACCGAAACAUUGGCCAUAGGACCGCAAACAACACUUUCUAAUGAGGCACAACGAAGAUAGCAAUAUGGCCAUCCUCUUUUUAAUAGGACAUGCAUCUCUCUUGUAUUCUUAGAAUAUAAUCAACAAUGUCAUCAUUAUAAAUGUUUGGGGUGUAAUUAAGGUUUAAGGUGGAGCAUAUCGAAGUGACGAAGUGGACUGAAAUGGUAUGGAGGUGGAGCGAAGUGGACUGAAAUGGUAUGGAGGUGGAGCAGAUCUGAGUGGCGUCUUCCUAUUCUCGAUAUUGAGGGCAGAACACUUUUUAUACUUUCAGCGGCAUUAGUACAAAUUAAGGGCCUAUUUAGAUAGACUAAAAUAAUUAUUGCAUGGUUAAUGGACACCUGAUUCUGCUAUUCCAUAGGAGUAUGAAAGCAUUGGGUUCUCUCUGUACUAGAGUUCCGUUGUAGAGAUACCUAGACUAGAUAAUAUAUAAAUGUUCAUAGUACAAUUUCCAACUGAUGAAUAUACUGAGAAACAAUUCUUGAUAAUAGAAUAAUUGUACUAUUAUGUGAAAAUAGACUUGGACAUACAUCUUUGCAACAAAACCACCGAGGCGACAGAAACAGGAUCCUGAGACAGAGGCCACCGAGGCGUACUUUGAGUUUGCGUCCCAAUCCACACUCGAUCGUCUAUGUCGUUGUAAGUAGUCGUCUGUGUCUCCGGUCCACACAUGGCACAAGCUACCAUGAGCAGUGCCAGAAGCAGCAAGGCCCUCGUGGUGGCACGCCGCCAUCACAGAUCUAACAUCAAGUGGCACCCUAUGCCGAUCUAUGGUGGAUUCACGACCGAAGUCGGCGGCUGAGGUGAAAUUUGUUGGGAGGAGGUGUCAGCAGCAACACGCAGGUGGGGGAAGGGAGCGAUCGAGCGGGGGGGGGGGGGGGGGGGGUGGGGUGUCAACAGCAGCACGAGGUUGGUGAUAAUGUCCCGUGAAAAGAGGUGAACUUAUCAUAGGUCGAGCGAAGGAAGCAGCACGGGGAAGAUGUACUAUCGGCGGGGGUGAAUGGGUGGCGGCGACUGAGAACGCGCGAUACGAGAGGAGGAAACAAAUCGAGAUAACUGCCGGACCUUCGAACGUUGGGCGUGGUUCCACGGGAAAGUUGGGCUGACACCGGGCCGAUAUCACCACGAAUCAGCCUUCCAAACAGGCUGGAACCAUGCUCGGGGAAUAUUCUUGUGCUGGACGCCGACACAAGGAAAACAACAAAUUACCGACGAGGAAUUGGUCUGCCAAACCAGCCAUAAGAGAUGCUUGGUUUGAGAAAUCAAUUCGUCCAAAAUUAGGUGGUGUAUCAUGAGUCAAUUUCUCAAAUUUGAUUAAAUAACUCCAUUCCUUAUAUUAGUAUUAACUAACUAACUAUAAAGAAUAAGGUGGUGAUGGUCAUUUCACAAACCAAUUAAAAAAAUAAAAGUGAAAAGAUGAUAGAUUAGCUCGUUCUUCAGACCAAACACUCUAAAGGUAGACUAUGGUUUAUUUUCAUCCAGAGAGGAAAUGAAGAAAAGAGAAACGAGAGAGAAUGAUGAAGAAAUAAAAAAAAGUCAGAGAAGAGUAGCCCUCAUCGGCAAAGUAGCCAAUAUGAGUUUUCACAGUUUUUUUUUUUCUUAACUUUAGAUAUGAGCUUGUUUCAACUAUCUUCUGCAAAGCACGCCCCAGUGCUCCCCACUGCCUCCUUCCGCUCACGUAUAUAGACGGCAAGCAAUUUCAGCGCAGUACCCGUUCAUAAGAAGUAAGUUUUAAAAAAGUUGAAGCAUGAUCAUGGUUGAUCGAAGCAAGCAUCAGAGUUAUCUUGAUAACAUCGAGUUCCAGGGAACCCAAUCAUCGGCGUGUUAUAAAAGCGGUAGAACGUUACUAUGUACGCAAAUCCAGGUCAGAGACAUUGUGGACACCAGAUUUCUUGAACAUGUUAGGAAGGUAAUGCCUUCUUUCUCGUCAGAACCAUAACCGAUGUUGGGCAACAAAGCUGACCUUCUGAACUUCCUUCUGACACAGGAGUCGACGCCCUUCGGCCUGCACCAGCUUGGAGCCACAAGUGUUUAUUUAAGCAUGAAUCGACAUGAACAGGAAUGUAAAAGAUGGCAUGAAGUGUCAGCAUUUUAUCGCUCCUUGUGCACAUGACCAUGAAUUGUUCUAAGGGCAAAGCUACUAAACCACAACAAACAGCCAUAUAUUCUACUCUAAACAUAUGACAAAUGGUGCAAUGCACACAGGAUGCAGGUGCCAGGGGGUGUUGGGGUAUGUUCUUUGGGCACAAGACAGAUGCUGUCAAAUGUAUUAGUUGGUGUUAACAGUUUAAAAAGUACAUAUAACGGGUGAUGUCAUCCUUGCAAAUUUUCAUGAAACAAAAGCAAUAAUAAAGCAGUAAUAUUGCAGUAGUGUAUUGAUCAUGCAAGGAUAAGCAAAAAAAAAUGUUGUUCGUGUACACACCACACAGUGACUUACCACGUCUGUUUAGCCCGUUUAAAUGGCUGUUUAGCAUGAAUAAAUAGCUAUACGGUACUGGCAAAAAAAUCAGUUGAUCAUGCAGGAAAGCAACUAUCAUAUCGUUGCAAAGUUUCAUCGAAAGCAAAAUGUGAAAUCUAGUGCAACAUAGUGCCACUAAAGAAAUGCUACCUCAAGAAAGUUGCUUUGAAAGCAAAACAAGUUGUUUCCGAGAAAGGAUCAGCCAUAAUGAUGUGAUCAUGCAGAAACCAUGGUUUUCUUAAGCGAGCGUCGGGCUAAAAAUGUUGGGAGAAGUCUAGGCAAGCAUUCAUGCUCUGAAUGAAGCCCACGCCUUUUUAAUCCGACCCACUUCAUGAAGCCAUGAAGCAAUUGAUGUAGAAGAGUUUGCGAGAGCCACAGUGCUAUACUUACGCAAGGGCUAGGGCCCUCUUCCUUUAUCCCGAUGCUCACUUAAGAAACAUGUUUUCUACCUCAGACCUUUUACUGAGCCAUCAUAUCCUUUUCUUUCAGAAACAAUUAUCGAUAAAAAAGGUUAACUGAAUAAAAGUCUGCAAUUAAAGUUCCUAACUCUAUUGCAUGCAAGGUUCGUUCAUGAAAACACCAGGUGUCCACAGCAAAUUUGACUGUGCAUGUGUAUGCUACAUGUGUAGAUAGUUAGAAUUACUUGUCUCUACUCAAACACAGAUACUACGAGUACAGUGCUUUUAUCCAGCGACUGUAUCGUGCAAGAACAAAAACUAACAGAUACUACGAGUACUGAACAAUAACGCUUCCUCGCAUAGACAGUUUAACAGCCAUCUUCGCUAUAUUUCAAACCAUAAGAAGUUACUCAACAAGGCUAAAUCCCCAUUAAAAUUACUCGAACGACAGAUGAAAACAGUAAUCAAGAUUCAGAUUGAUACGGUCUGCAACAAAUACAACGGGCAUCAUUUCAGAAUUCAGAUAAGAAUUAUGGAUAAGAACUCAAGGCAUUCUUAGUCGUCGAGGUGAGGCCUCAUGAGUCAGCAGCGGGCACCGCCAUUUCUGCUCCACAGUUGCAAAGAAACAACACGAGUGCCAAUUCGGAGCAAGAACUACGAAACCAGAUGACAAACAAAUUGCAAAGAAACAACACGAUUGUCGAUUCGGAGCAAGAACCACGAAACCAAAUGACAAUUAGCUACGAGCCUACGCGACGCUCUGUACCUUUGGAAACUCACAGAACCUACCCAAGGAGACUAUGACGAUGAGAGGAGGAAGAACGGCGCGACGGCGGCGGAGGGCAUCGACGAGAAACAGAUGGAAACCCUACGACCCUCCGCAAUGCUAAAGCUGUGGGCUUUAAUAGUACCAGCUCGAAGCAACUCAAGACCUACCAGCCCAUGUGCAUAGUUGGUCCCAUUUCGUUAGCAGGCUAUU
This 48952-nucleotide long non-coding RNA is filed under the name Zea mays. Its description in RNAcentral is "long non-coding RNA (ZMAY_LNC002255)". Lineage: Eukaryota; Viridiplantae; Streptophyta; Magnoliopsida; Poales; Poaceae. The record is from RNAcentral.